This 57155-nucleotide long non-coding RNA is filed under the name Solanum lycopersicum (tomato). RNAcentral's name for it is "long non-coding RNA (SLYC_LNC000850)". The record is from RNAcentral. Lineage: Eukaryota; Viridiplantae; Streptophyta; Magnoliopsida; Solanales; Solanaceae.
AAAUUCAAGCCUUAAAAUCUAACCAUACUUGGGAUGCUGUUAUGUUACCCAAAGGUAGAAAGGCUCUACCUUGUAAGUGGGUUUAUAAGGUAAAACAACAUGCAGAUGGGAAAAUUGAAAGAUUGAAAGCAAGGCUAGUAGUAAGAGGGGAUAUACAAAAGGAAGGGAUAGAUUACAAUGAGACUUUUUCUCCAGUAGUAAAGAUGACUACAAUCAGGUGCCUAUUGGCCAUCGCCACUAAGAAAGCAUGGGAUGUAUACCAAUUUGAUGUCAACAAUGCCUUCUUGCAAGGAGACGUGCAAGAAGAAGUAUACAUGAAAUUUCCAAAUGGUUUAGAACCUCCCCAUCCUAAUAUGGUCUGCAAAUUGAGAAAAUCACUCUAUGGGCUUAAGCAAGCCUCUAGACAGUGGUAUGCUCGAUUAGUAGGAGCUUUGAGUUUCAAAGGAUAUGUGGCUUCAUUAAAUGAUUACUCACUGUUCUUUAAGCAAUGUGGGAAUUAUAUUUCAAUUGUGGCUGUGUAUGUUGAUGAUAUCUUAAUUACAGGGAAUGCUACAGAAGAAAUCAAGCUUUUAAAAGCUUUUCUACACAAGGAAUUCAAAAUCAAAGAUCUUGGACUACUACAUUAUGUUUUAGGUAUGGAAGUGCUAAGAGAAGAACAAGGAAUGAUUAUCACACAAAGAAAGUAUACCUUAGAGCUCUUGGACGAGUUCGAUGUCUCCCAUAUCUCUGCAUUAUCUUCUCCUAUGGACCCUUCUCUCAAGCUUACUGCAGAUUCAGGAACACCCCUGUCAGAUCCAACAAGUUAUCGUCAUCUAAUCGGCAAGAUUAAUUAUUUAACCCACACUAGACCUGAUCUAUCUUUUGCUGUGCUAAAACUCAGUCAGUUCAUGCAUAAACCAACUUCUAUUCAUUAUUCUGCUGGUCUACGAGUAAUCCGUUACCUGAAGAAGUUUCCAAACUAGGGACUUUUCUUCACCGCUUCUCCUGGUUUAUCUUUAGCCACUUAUUGCGACGCUGAUUGGGCCUCUUGUUUUGAUUCCCGUCGAUCUGUUAGUGGUUUCUUUAUCAGCUUAGGUGGAUCUCCCAUUUCCUGGAAAUCAAAGAAACAAAGCUCAGUCUCUUUAUCAUCUGCAGAAGCAGAAUAUCGUUCCAUGCGACGAUUGGUUGCUGAGUUAACUUGGCUUACUCGUCUACUUACCGAUCUGUCGAUUCCUCCUCCUUUGCUAGUCCCGAUUCACUCCGAUAGCCAGGCCGCCAUUCACAUCGCUCGCAAUCCUGUGUUUCAUGAGCGUAUAAAACACGUCGAGCUUGACUGCCACUUUGUUCGUCAACAGUACCUUGCAGGGCUGAUUUCCCUUUCCUUCGUCCCUUCCAGAGAUCAACUAGCUGAUAUAUUUACAAAACCACUUGCCGGUCCUUCUCAUCUUCACAACAUGACCAAGUUGGGCCUCACUCUGUUCACCUCCAACUUGAGAGGGGAUGUUGAAGAUAAUCAACUCAGACAUGCAGAUCAGGAAGGUGAAGAAGAAGACGAAGAGAAAGGAGAGAAGAACAAUGGACAUCUUGGGAACAAUGGACAUCUUGGGAAACAUCGAAGAGAGUAUCGAGGAGUUCCAGAUCAGAGGAACGUACCAAGUGUUUCAAAUGCAAUCCAGCAAUGUUAACAUUGGGGCCCCAUAAAUAAUGGGCUGGAUCGUCUAAAUAGUAUUGGGGAGAGUUGGGCCUUGAAGAUCAGAAACAGAAACAAGAAAUGAAGGCCCAAUUAUGGAUUCAAAGUUGUGAAGUGUUUAUAUCUUCUCACCAUUUGUAUAUAUCUAAUUAUACAAUACCUAGAUUCCCUUAACAGAUUUUUUUUUGUAAAGAAUAAAAGUUUGUUAGAUAUUUAGACAAAUAGAAUUAGGCCAGCUGGAUAGUUUGUUAGGAAUAGAAGUUUCUUGAUUUCUCAUAAUACUUGUAUAUAUAGUUGCUUACAAGAAGAAAGAAAUAUACAGAAAAUUUCCCAAAUCAUUUCUCUUUACUGUUUCUUGUAAUUUUUACAGGUUGGGAGGGUGUAAAAGAAAAUCAAAAUGAGUGAUAAGAAAAUUGCCAACUCAUCCUGGCCAAUAACAGGACGCCUAUUGAUCACCUCUGAAUACUCUCUUCUACUUUAUAAUAAUUUUUAUUUGAUAUUAAUAUUUAUAAAAUAGCAAAUAUAAAAAUUAUAUUUGUAUGCUAUAGUUAUAGUUUGUAUAAUUGCGCUCCAUAACAAACUUUAUGUUUGAUAUGAUUAUUACUAUGUAUAUUUUGGAUACAUAUACAAAAGAAUAAUUGUACAAUCUAUUUCGAUAUACAUAUACAAAAGAAUCGUACAAUUUGUGUUUGUAUAAAGCGAUAAAGUGAGAAAGUCAAAAGAAAGCUGGGCAGAAAAAAAUCUGUAUUUGUACAAUUAUAAGUGUAUAUAACGAAAAUUUAUUUAUUGUAUUUAUAUAUAAUUUUCUCUCGCUUUACACAAACACAAAUGUAAAUUAAUUGUAUAAAGUGAUAGAGGCGAGUGAGAGUGGCGAGCGAGAUUUUCUGGGAGAAAAGGCAAACGAAAAGAUAUGCAUAUAUACAACUUUCUUUUACUUUAUACAAGCUCAAACACAUUUUUACAUUUGUAUUUGUAUAAAAGUGAGAGAGGCGAGGGAGAGCCUGCCAACAAGAAAUGAGAGUGGCGAGCGAGAAUUUCAGGGAGAGAGACAAAUAACAGCAGUUUGUUACGAAUUAUAAUUUAAUCAAACUGUGAUUAUAAUAUUUAAUUUGAAUUAAUAAUUUUAUUAUUUUAUAUAAUUUUCUCAUAUUUAUAUUAAAAAAUUAUGACUAAUUUAAAUUGUAUCAUAAAGACUUUUUCAUAUAUAUCAAGAUUCAAAAACUUUUAAUUAGUGAUUGGAGGAAUUUAAUUCCACGUACCACAAUAUUGGUUUAAUAAAAUAUCUUUCCAUCAUAUCAACAUGUGUUAAGAUGCUACCUAAUUUUCCAUGGCUAUAAAGCAAAGUCUAUAAUUUGCUUUAAUUAAGAGAGAUCACAUAUCGUCCACUAAUUUGCUGCUUUUUCUUAGAUAUUUUCUUCAACAAGACCAUUAAAUAUUGCACUCAUCUUGUUUUUCUAAUUCUUCUUUUACACAAAGUCGUAGAGGCCGGUUUUGUGGGACAUCCACAUCUUCCCGUGAUUUAAUGUUUCCAAUACUUAAUUAGUUUUAUUUUACUUGAGUCUAUUUGCAACCCUCCCCCCCCCCCUCCCUCCAAUUAAGAACAAUAUAUUCACAUAUUAUAUAUGGAGUUUGGAAGAAAGUAGAAUGCAUGUAGGGUGACUUUGGUUCAAGUGUAACAAUUUAAGAUAUAAAGAAGAAGAAAAGAAUAAAUAAAAAGAAAAAUUAAUUUUAGACAAGAUGUGCAAAACCUAUGAGAAAAGAAAAUGAACGAUAAUAAAAUAAUGUAAUAGCCGAAACACAACAAAAAUAUGAUAAUUGGUAUAAGAAACUAGAACUAUAAUAGAUUAAUUAGUAAAACUACAAACACCAACAAGCUUGAACCUAUGAAAGCAAGGAAACACUCUACUAUCUACUAACCGUCUACCUUAAUAUGCAAUCUUCACACCUUCGUAUCUAAGGUCAUGACAUCAGUAUUUUGAACUUUCGUCGUGUCAUGUCUAAUCAUCUCUCUUCUAAUACAUUUUCUACCUUUCCUCAUGCCUACCAAAACUCAACCUUUCGCACUUCAUCAUUGGUGCAUUAGGCAUCUCUAUUUUACAUGUCCAAAUCAUCUCAAUCUCUUCUCCUUCAUCUUGUCCAUUCCAGAGGCCGUUCGUACCUUAUCUAGGAUGACCUAAUCCCUAAUUUUAUCGCUCCUAGUGUUUCUACACAUCCAUCUAAACGUAAUCAUUUCUCAACACACACAUUUUGAGCACGAAAGUUCUUAAUUGACCAACACUUUGCAUGUUUAUUAAUGAUCCAACCACCAUUCUACAGAAUUUAUCCUUAAGUUUCAGUUGUACUUUUUUAUCAGACUAAACCCCGGAGGCAAGCAAUUCUCUCCAUCCAUGCCACACCAAUACGGUGUGUGAUAUCGUUGUUGAUGUCCCCACUAGCCUAGAUUAGAGACUCGAACUUGAAAUUCUCUUUCUUGGGGAUAGGUUGUGUGUCAAGUCUCACUUUCACGUUUAACUCAUACAUCAUUAAAUUUGCACUCCAAAUAUUUUACAUUGAUCUUGCUCAACCUGACCUCGUAGACUCCAGAGUUAGUCUCCAUAACCUAAUAUUACAUAUCUCAUUAAUCAUUAUUAUGUUCUCCUGAAAUAACAUACCCUAAUAUUAAGUUUUACAAUAACAAUUUACUUAAUUUACCCAAAUUUUGUCAUGUAGAUUGACUAGUAGAAUGAUUGAUGAAAAAAAAAAUAGAGGUAAAAUUAUUUGUGGCCAAGUGAAAUUUGUAGUAGGCAUAGAAACGUGGCAAUGGGCACUGAAAAUAUCUUAUAUUAUAGUAGGGUCGUUUGAGAAGGCUUUAACACCACGAUUUUGAAGAAAAUGAUUCUAUGGAAAAUCAAAUCAAAUUUGUGGACCAAAAUGGAGACAACUCAUACACUAACCAAUGAUGACCCGUCUUUAGAUUUACAUCCCUCAAAUAAUCUUUACCCAAUUUCCACGGCCAAGAAUCAAGACUCAUUUUUUACAAAAACCCCUUCAUUCACAUCCAUUAGUUUUAGGCGGGCUGUUAUAGAUAUUUUUUCUUCAAGAAAACCAAAAGGGGUUGCAGUUUUGGUGGUGUAACAUGGGUGAAGCAGUGAUGACAAGUAAAAAAGAUGAUGAAUCUUUGCCAAAAAUGGUGCUUAAGGUUUUAUUGGUUGAAGCUGAUGAUUGCACUCGUCAGAUUAUUGCUGCUCUGCUUCGUAAAUGUAGUUAUAGAGGUUGGUCAUUUGGGGUUUCAACAGUAUUGCUGGUUUUAUGUUCAUUUGUUUCCAUUAAUCUUGAUAAUUCAACAACUAAACUUUGAGAACAAGCAACUGAUCUACAUCUUCUUUUGAAAUAGUAAAAAAGAACACAUUUUUCAGCAAUAGCCACUUGGGCAUCUGCACUCAUUACAUUAAGGUUUUGGGGUUGAUAACUUGAUACUAAGCUCCCGUUUGGCUAUAGAUUUUGAAGUUUGAAACUUUAAAAAUUGAGUUAAUGAAGUUGUGCUUUGAUCCUACAUUCUUGAAGUUUUGUGAUGGAAGCUUGUUUUUGGGAACUUGAAAAUAUAUGAAGAUAAGAUUUUCAAAAAUCACUCCCAAACGUUAAGCUAAGAUUUUUUGUAUUCGCUCCAAGUCAUGUUAAGAAUGUUGGUCCCUUAUAUAAAAAGAUUCAAAUAUUUACUACAUAAAUCACCAAAAAUACAUAAAAUUGGUAACUCUCAGAUUGCGGUUACUACCUUAACGUUUUGAGUUGGAUUAUCUGAUCUUCUACCUAAGACAUGGACAGUGAUUGUAGUGUGUUUGAAUAUCAAGCAGAUUGGAAUAGAAUUGUUUCUUUAUUUGUAAAAAAAAUAAUAUUUUUGUGUCCUUUUUUCCCCUUGUUUUGGGAAUGGAUACCUAGGAUUUUGUUUAGGCAUUUAGCCUGGCCGUAUCUUCUAUAGUUUGUCGUCUGUAGAACCAUUUUCAGCAUGAGCCUUUCAGUUACUGAGAAUACAAUCCUUUCUUUUACUUGUCCUCUUUUCUUCAGGUUAUAGCAUGGAGGAUAUAAUAUCACGCUCAUCCUGCACCUGGAGAUAUCUAGUGGUAUUAUAACUCCAUGUAUUCCUCCUAGACUAUGAUUCUGCAUUCGCUGCUGCUCCCCCACCCUGCACCACCCCUUAAAAGAAUAUCAAAGGAUGUAAUGUAUCUGUAAAAUUCCAUCCUGCCGUGAAUUUCAUUGACUGCUAUCAUGGUGGGGUUAGGAGUAUUACUUAACCGUACUUGAUUGUUGCCUACUGAAGACUUAAUCUACCACGUUUUACCAACCCGACAUCCACCCCUUACUUUUGCGCUUUGUAAUUGGUUACCUGAGAGACAUGUAUUAACUUUAUGUUUCAGCUCACUGUCAAUUCUUGUGGCGUGACUGUGUACAUAGCAUCUUGUUUUUUUUUUUACACUUUGUUUUUUGGUACAAAAGAAAUAGUAAGUUGUUUUUUGUUUUUUGGUACCAAAGAAAUAAUAAGUUGUUUGACAAAACAGUUGCUGCUGUUCCUGAUGGUUUGAAGGCAUGGGAGACACUAAAGGAAAGGCCUCAUAACAUAGACCUUGUAUUGACUGAGGUUGAGCUGCCAUCAAUAUCCGGAUAUGCACUGCUUACUUUAAUUGUGGAGCAUGACUUGUGCAAAAACAUACCUGUUAUAAGUAUGUUUUCUUGAUCUCAGCACUUAUUUUAAUGUAAAAUUUCACAGGGAUCGUAUUGCUUAAUAUGCCUAUUUAUUAUGCAGUGAUGUCCUCCAAAGAUUCUAUUAGCACAGUCUUGAAAUGCAUGGUUAAAGGAGCUUCCGACUUUCUCAUUAAGCCUGUAAGGAAAAAUGAGCUGAGGAACUUGUGGCAGCAUGUUUGGAGAAGAAAAACGGUAUGUAAAGAGAAGAAAACACUUAUAAAUGGUUAUCAAAUUUAACCAAUUGAAUUAACACAAGUUGUUUUAUUUUACUUGAAUGAUCAGCAAAGUGCUCGGAGUCAUCCUCGGAAUGAAGUUGUUGAAAAUCAGAAACUUGUAGCAGCUUCUGAGAAUGACACAGCAAGUAACUAUUCUAGCGAUAAUCUGGAUUCUGUUCAAAAUGGAAAUGACAAAGCUUGCAAGUCACAAGUAAGUGAUAUCUUCUGUGUUAACCUCAUUUGACUGAGAUGUAUGAGCUCCAUCAUCCUGCACUUCAUAGAUUUUGAUGUAACAUGAUUGAUUAUCUAUAUGCAAUUUUAUAUGCCAACUUUAAGCUAUUUUUUGUUACAGGUUUUCUUUUAUCAAGAGAAUAAAUAGACUAAGUGAGAUAAAAUGCUGAUCUUCUUUUGCGCUCCAUGCCAUCAAGUGCCUUCAGUUUUUCUGCAGAUAGUUGAUUUACAUCAUUUAAGUUUGAAAAGUAUAUACUUAACAAAAUUUAUGAUAAUGAUGCAUUAUGAAAUCACGUGAAGAAUAACGUAUUUCUAGAUUAGACUGGUUUCAUCAGGUUUUACAUAGAUGACAUCUUCUGCCAACUUUUGUGCAUAACUCUUGUCUCAUGCCUUUCUUGAUAGCUGAUAGUGUGUGUAUGCCAAAUAUGCAGGGCGUUACAGAUAUUAGGCAUAAAGAUGAUUCAAAUAUGUGCAACAAUGGAAGACAUGAAGAAUGUGUUGAAAUGGUUGAAAGAUCAUUUAUGCCAGAAAGUAAACCACUAGGUAUGGCGAGCCAUCCUUCUUCUAUCAAAUUUUGGAGUUAUACGUCUCAGAUUUGAACUGACAAACUAUCAUAUGUAGUGAACAUGACAAGCUCUGGAAUGAGAACUUCUUCCGGCACUACACCUGACAGCUCAGUUGCUAUUGGUUCAGAAGAUGCCACUCUUUGUGCUGAACCAAGGGUUACGGCUAAUGAAGUGCAUCAUGGAUGUUUUAGUGCAAAUAAGUGUACUGCUGAUGAAGUUGAUUUCCAGUUGAAUGAACUCUAUUCUGCUCCUUAUACUGCUGAGGCUGUUGACUUGAUGGGGAAUUUUGAAAAUUACUUGGCUCAUUGUGACGGCCAUUCUCACGACAGUAGAGAAAAAUCAAAUCUCGCUUCCAGGCUGGAUCUUUCUUUGAGAACCUUUAAUCCCAGUUGCUUAAAUGAUGAAGCGUCGUGGGAGCAGAGCAUGAUAAGUUAUUCAAAAGCAUCCGCCUUUUCUAAGUGAGUUUUACAUUUCUGUUCUUUGACAUUCUAUUGUUGAAUUGUCCUCUUUGCUUAGUGAAUUCCUCUAAUAUGAAGGAGCAGUUCUUCAUCGGGAAGAGAGCCCCAAAAUUGUAUCAUUGUCUCAGUAGAAUAGUAGUAUUUGUACUCUUUAAACACAAAAAAGUGUAAAUAGUGUGAGUAGCCACAUUUCAACUACUGCAUACUGCUGUUGGGGCAAGUUGAGAUUUGUGACAAUUCUUUAUCAGGGGAUGCAGCCUAUUUUACUGGGUUCACUUUUAGCCCAGUAUUUUGACAUAAGAGUGUAAAUAAACAUUUGAAAAAUUACUAAAACUUCAACAGUUAUUAAUUUAUGAAACCAUAAUUUCAGUAGUGCAAUGAAUUCAAUUGUCCAAAUUUAAAGGUUGAACCAAUCAAGUUUAAAUUCUUUAUUCCCUUCAGGUAUUAGUCACACUACAUAGCUUAUGGUAGUAGCAAUUUCUCUCUGACAGUUGUGAUGCAAUACUGGUGGCAGGGCCGUUCAUGCAUAUUAUACAGUAGGGAGAAAACUAGUAUAAGACAUCAUUUAGGAAGCUAUACGGUAGGGGUUGUUCCUUUCUGUUGCUCAUCACUGACUCUAUUCGUGGCUAUUUCAGAAAUCAACAUCUAGAAAGUAUCUGAGUUAUGAAGAAUGUGUAAUAUAUUUAAAUUUGAAGGCCUCUAUGUGCAUGUUUUUGUUUCUAGCUCUAAUUAAUGACCAAACCACUGCCCAGGAAAAUUUUGAAGAUUUAGAUGGGUAUCUCUUAAGGAGUUAACUAACUACAGGUUACUAAUUUUGUCGAUAGCAUGAAGGAAGAAAUUAUUGUACAAAAAUAACACAUGGGACAACCAGAUAUAUGCUGUAAAAGUGUAGUAAUUCUUUGUCCAGGAAAUAUUUUGAGGCUGAAUAUUAUUAUCUUGUCGUGAUAUAUGGUAAGAACCUCCAUUAAAUUCUUAUAUCCAAGAUAUACUAAACCAAGUCAUAGUAUAACUGUUUGUAUUAAUGUUAAGCCUAGCCACUCAUCUUUCUUUAUUGGCAUUUUUAAGUUGAAACCCCAAUAGAUCAAGGUUGGAAAAUUCACCUUUACUGUUUUGAGUGUAUGGAAAGGUGACUUAGAGUGUGUAAUGAUGCCUUCUACUUACAAAGUCACAGUUCUAAUGAAAUUAUCUUACCUUAUCACGUAAAAAGAAGACUCAGAAUGCCCUUAUUUGCUAGUUUAGUUAUUUAUUGCUUUCAGGCUGAUAAACCAAGGCUUCUCAUAUUUUAUCCUUGAUGGCCUCCCUCCCUCUAGUUACAAGUCCAAUUGAAUGUUGUUUCUCUGCGCGUCUUCUCUGAGAAAAGACGCAAGUAUAUUAUGCCUAUAUAUGAACACUAGUACAGCAGUAACUUGCAGUGUGACCAGUUGAGAUUAUUUAGUAAUUUAUCUGCCUAAAAUAUCUUACGAAAUUCCUUAACUGCUUAAAUUAGUUUCCAGAUGCUAUCUGAAAAUUGACUAAACCUUCUAUUAUGUCAGAUAUGAAAAUAAGAUGACGGUGCAACCUCUUUUCUCUGGAUUGAGUAGCAAUUCAGCUCCAUUGAAGGAAGGCUCUAGUGCCUCUACUUGGCAGCAUGAUGCUUCAUUGACUGAGAGUCAGGAAAAUGAAACAGCUUUGGUUAUGCGCCAACCGGGAAAUUGUAAAGUUGCACUAUCGGGCACCCAAGUAAGCUUCAUUCCGGUUGACAGGGUAAGGUCUGGAAGUAUGGCUGCCAGUGACAUUCAGAUAAAUGCUUCAGUAUACAAUACACAAUCAAGUUCUCAUCAUGUACAGAGCCCUCGAUCACAGUCUCCACUUCCAACAAGUUCUUUGACUUAUUCAACUUCCGAAGGUCAAAAUAUGGAGCAUUACAAACAACCAUUUGAUGAUACUACAGUUCACUCUGAGGAAAAUGUGGAAGAAGAAGAUGACAGAAAUUUAGUAACAGUUGAAAAGGCAAGAUAUGAUACUGCAAUUUGUGAAUCUAGUGAUUUGGGAGGUGGCAUGAAAAACAAGCUCAGUAGCUCUCAUUGUGGAAGUAUUUCUGAUGAAGCUGUUGAAAGUUCCUUCCCAGUUGUUAGUCCAGAGAGAGCUCCCGUUUCUGAGAGUGUGAAUUACAAUGAUAGGACAGGAUCAGAGAAUCACAGCACCAGCCAAAGGGAAGCAGCACUCAUGAAGUUUCGGUUAAAACGGAAAGAUAGGUGCUAUGAGAAAAAGGUAUACAUAACCUUAGUGCUACUUCCAUUAUCUUUUUCAUCAAUUCUAUUACUACUUUGGUUAUCUUUACCUUUUUCCUGCCAAUACUUUUUUGCCUUUAUUUUCUUCUUCAGACCUGUUCUGAAAACAGUUUUCUUGACCUGAAGUCUAUCUCAAACAGUCUCUACCCCACAAAAGUAGAGGUAAGGUCUAGGACACCCCCACCCUCCCUAGACCCCACUUAGGAGACCAGAUUGGGUAUAUAUGUUGUUGUUGUCGUUUGUAGUGCUUUUAUUCAACUUAGAUAUAUUGCAUCAAUUUUAAACGAGUGCAGCGUUAACUAGUCUAUAUUUUCUAGAUAGAUAGUUUAGCGGAAACGAGUGCCAUUUCUAUUGGUUUUUGACCUUGCAUAUAUUUGAAUGAUCAAAUAGUAGACAUAAACCACAAAACUAUUCAUAAGUAGACAACAUUUCUUUAUGUCCUUUAAUAUACUGAUAUCAUUUUUGUACAGGUUCGAUACGAAAGCAGGAAAAGACUUGCAGAGCAGCGACCGCGAGUGAAAGGACAGUUUGUUCGUCAGCUACAAAACGGAACUCAGCCUUUGUCGAAGCACAAGGACGAAAUGCGAAUAGUCCUCCAAUGAGAAAAAAAUAGUUAUUAGUCAAAUGUAGCAUAGCCAUUAAGAUAGAUAUACAGGUUUGUAGUUUUUGUGUGUUGUGUUAUGUGUGUAAUGUCUUUUAAGCCUGAGAAUUAGGGGAUUGAUGAUAGUUGCAACUCAAGAUGUUUCAAUUUUUAUUUAGUUAUUGGUUCAUGAUGAACUUAGCUAAGUAGGUGAAAUUUGUCUUGCAUUUGAGAGGAAGUUUGAAAUGUUUAAUGGUGAACUUUGCAAGUAUUUGUAGUUUGGGCAAGGAACUUGAGAAAUUCAUUUGAUUUGUGUAUAUAUAGUUGCACAAGAAUAUUAAAAGGAGAAUUCUUCAUGUUUUUUUUUUUAAUACAAUCUUUACCAUUUCAAAUAUAUAUAAAUAUAAAUUUUGUCUAUAAACACCUUUCUAUUUCACGAAGAUAGAAGAAAGAUGUGAGCAUAAUUCAUUUUCUUAAAAUUUUUUAAGUAUGUUAUUAGACAACAAAAAUUCAAAUUUGAUUGUAGCUAGUACGUAAAUAUAUUAAAUUUGUGUAUACGAUUGAAUCUAUCUUCGUUGUAUCAUUAAACAGUUGAACUUACAAAAUUGAUGAUUUAGUAGCAAAACUAUCAAAUUGGUCCACGGCAACUCCAAAACCAAAUGUCACGAAACUAAUUAAGUAGCAAAAAUGGUGAGGAAUUCCAUUUGCUAGGUGUCAUCACAUCAUAAGACUCCACCGUUACACAUAACACAAAAUUACAUAUUAGUCGGCAGCUACUCGUCAAGAAUCUUCUUCCUAAGCUAAAGUAACAAAAAACAAUAGAAUUUGCAUUGAAAACAACGAGCAAAGAGAGAACCUAAUUCCCUUCUCUUUUUAUUUUUCUUUCAUAGAUUCUAUCUUUUUUAUUCCACCUUUUCUCACCACUAUCACUCACUUUAAAAUUCAAACACAAAUCUACUUGUUUGUUUUAAUUACAUUUGAUCAUUUUAUUGUUCAUGUAAGGUUGGUUGAUCAGGUAAGCCUCCAUCUCUUAUAAUUUUCUUGUGGUUACAUUAAUGAGGUCUUUUUCUUUUCAUGUAUCUAACUUUAUAUACAGGUCAACAUCCACUUAUGACUUGAUGCAAAGAAAAUUAAGACAAGUAUACAAGAUUAGCUAGAAGAAGUUUUGGAGUGAGUUUUUUUUUUUUUUUAAAUGAUAAAAUCUUCACCUACUAGUUAGUGCUUAUUUUAAUUGGAAUUCACUUUCUUUUUCGAUAUGUAAAACUUAUAUACAGGUCAAACAUCGACGUAAGAGGCAAAUUUGUAGACAAAAUGAGUGAUUAUGACCAACAAAAGAUUCCAAAUGAAAGUGUUGGUUAUCCUCAAAAACCUUCUCCUAUAGCAAUAUCCUCUAAUGAUCCAAGUAGAAGAAGUCCAGCCAAAACUUUGUGCGCUUUGUUGUUCAUUUUAGUCAUCUUGGCUGGCCUUGUUGUGCUCAUAUUAUGGCUAGUUUAUAGACCCCACAAACCAAAUUUCAGUCUAGUUGAUGCUGCCAUAUAUGAUUUAAAUGUAACAUCCCCUCCUUAUAUGUCAACCAGCAUGCAAUUCACAGUGUUGGCAAGAAAUCCUAAUAGGAGAGUUCGAUUGGAUUAUGACCAAUUUUCAGCUAUUGUUUACUACAAGGGUCAAGCAAUUACACCUCCAGCUCUGCUUCCACCUUUAUUUCAGGUAAAAAAUAAAAGAAAAUUUGACUUUCUUUGAUACAUAAUUUACUCAGAUUAAUUUUGGCUCGUAAUUUAUUUCAGAAAACAAAAAGCACGGUGAUAUUAUCGCCGUUGAUAAGAGGUGCAUCGGUACCUGUGUCGGUGGAAGUAGCAAAUGGAUUACUGAUAGAUGAAGUUUAUGGAGUUGUGGGAUUGAGACUAGUUCUAAUGGGGAAAAUGAGAUAUAAAGCUGGAAUUAUAAAGACUAAACACUAUCAAGUUUAUGUCAAAUGUGACAUGUUGGUUGGCUACAAAAAGGGAUUUAUGGGUCAAGUUCCUUUGCUUGGUUCUUCAGAUUGUCAACUUCAUUGAUGAACUUUUGUUAAAAGUCUACUAUGAACUUGGAGAUUUGUUUCUUCUUAUAUCAAACAUGUAAUCAUAUACUUGUAUGUUCUCAUUCCACCUCACCUUUAUUUUGUAAACAAAAUUUCAAUUAAUGCAUCUUCUUCUCCUUUUACAAAUUUAAAGUGAGUUUUACUUUUUCUUUUUUUUUUUAAAUAAUAUUAUUAUGCUUGAAAAAUGUUGGAAUAUUGUUAGGGCUAGUUUGUUUCUUUUUCAACACUCCGGUAAUGAAUUGUAUUUUUAGAAGUGUAACAAAAAUAGUUGGUGUAAAUAUAUAGUUUUAAACAUAUUAUAAAUUUCAUUAUUAAAAUUUUAAAGAUAGAAUUCAAAAUUCGAACUCUUUCUUUAAAAGAUAGACGUUGUUUCCUUGUGGCUCCUGUAUUUAAAACAUUGAAACACAAAUUUCACUCUCUUCUUCCGCCUCUCUUUUAUUUCGCUUGUCACUUAUCUAGGAUAUUAAAUAUAAUGUGUAUUACUCUAGAUAAAUACAAAUACAUAUAUUAUAUAUUUAAAUUUGAGAUACAUACGAAUUUCAAUCGUCAUCUUUUUCUAAUUUGCUAGCUUCUCUCUCUAUAUUAUGUAUUUGGUAGCAUAAAUAUUUGUAUUUGAAUGUGAGAAACGUAAAAAACUCUUAAUUAAUGGUAAGGUAUAUAAUAUUUUAAAAGUAUACAUGAUAGUGAAAUAGUUUUUUCAAUAUUGUAUAAGUGCAGAUAUACUUAUUAUACAUAAAAAUACAAUAUAUUUUACUAUUAUUAUACUUGUGAAUAUAAUAUAUUUUGCUACAUAAAUAUCUUAUAUAUACGAAUAUACAUGAAUAUAGUGUAGUGUAGUUCACACAAAUAUAUCAUAUUCUAUUACAUAGAUCUUGUAUACACACUAAAGCACCUUCACUAUUAUAAUCUGUACAAACUACGUCUCGUAAUUAAGCAAAGCAAAAUUUCACUAUUUUUUUUUUUUUUUUAAAUAAUAAUCUAAAUAGAAAUAAAUAAUAUCAAACAAGUACUACAUUUAAGAAAACCCAAAUGUCCAAUGAAAUAGCACCAUAAAUUCCCUAUCCAAAGCAGAUAAUGAUAGGGUUCAUUCCAGAAAGGCAUAAAUGGGUGGUUCUUAUUACUUUUGAGACCUCCAAGAUAUCUUACAUUUCACUAAAUAUUUUUCAAAAUAUCCCAAAUUUUAAUUUUUCAGAAAAAAUAUAAUAUAUUCUUCUUAAAAUUCAAAAAUUAGCCAUUUAUUUGGUACUCAUUACUCAUCAGGAAAAGAAAUCUUGUUUAUUUUAUUUUUGGUGAGUUUUUGAUUUUCAAUUAAGUGAGAAGCAAAUGGCCUCAACAACUACCCCUUCACUUUCUCUCUCUUCUUCAUCGACCCUCGUCGACGGCAAGACAACUCGUCAGUCUGCAGCCGUGGCAUCGUCGCAAUGUGUGACACUACCAACCCUUCCGCCGCGGCCGGCCGUUCAAAGCCGUGCUGCCAGAACCACUGCUUACUGUAAGUAACAUUUAAAUUAUCCCGGAAUUAUAGUACUUGAACUAAAUAAUCUCAAAUUUCAUGUUUUGGGUCCUGUAACCUGUGCUUGAUUGACUCUAUAAAUUUUAUCAGGUCACCCAAAUAAUCCUUUAUUCCCUUCACCUUUUAUAGCCCAUUCGGACUAGCCUCGACUAACUUCAGGACUAGCACUUAUUGGUUGCUCUGCUUUGGAAAAACAUGGAUAGAAAUCACCUAUUAUUUUUACCUGCACUAGCAUUUGAAUGUGAGACCUUAUAGUGCUUGUUGAACUGCCUCUGUGAGACCUAAAGGAAGUAGCUUCUCUGUUAUUGAAAACAUAGUUUAAAAUAUUUUGUUUAUAGGACAAUUAAUAACAAAAGUUAGAAAUAUAGUUUGAAAUUGUAAGAGUUGUAAAGAAACAUACUGGAUCAAGCAUUCAGAAAGAAUGUAUAAAUUGGAUUGGAGGAAGUAACUUGUAGUGUAUACUAAAAAGUUAGUAGUGUCUUUUGUUAGUGAAUGUUGGCUACUCCACUCACUCAUUGCCUUAAGGUUACCUUUGUAAUUCCCUUGAUGCGGAUGUGCUGUGAUGCAGGUAGAAAGAUUGCAAGGAAUGUGGCCGCAAUGGCUACAUCAACUGGAGAAGUUGCCACUGCAGAUGCCACAGCUGAAACGGCAACCACUGAGCUACCAUCAGAGCUUGUCCAAAAGAUUCAAGAAGUUGUAAGGACAUAAUACAUACUACUUGCCUUUUCAACUUUACUUGUUUCUUGAUUUUCUCCUCCUGAAUAUUGAUACCUAUCUGAUUUCUUCUUUUAGUGGGACAAAGUUGAUGAUAAGUACGCAGUCAGUUCAUUGGGCGUUGCUGCAUUUAUUCUUCUUUGGAGCUCCACUGGAGUGAUCUCGGUACUGCUACUAAUUGCUACCUUAAGACUUUUUUAGUUCCAUUUUAGUUCAGGUGUUGCAAACUAUAACAAACUUUGACAAAGGGACUUGCUUAAUUGUGGCAGGCAAUUGACAGGCUUCCUUUGAUUCCUGGUGUUCUUGAGCUUGUAGGAAUUGGUUACACCGGUGUAAGUUGAAAUAUUUUCACUCUUAGCCACUACUCUGUAUGUUGUAACCUGAAUGCUAUAACCAAUAAUUACACUGAUAGGGUAAAAAAUAAACGUUAUACUUAAGUUAAAUCCUUUCUUUGAACCAUAUUGCAUAGGCAUUAGCAUCAGGCUUCAUCAAUGCUUGUUUGGUUAAACUUUGAACUAUAUAAUCGAUUACCAUGUUAUCUUGACUUCAUUUACACGUUUUUGGGGGAUCUUCCCUUCCUCUGCAGUGGUUUGCCUACAAGAACUUGAUCUUCAAACCUGACAGGUUAUUUCCGUUCCUUUGUAUAUGAACUAGUGGAAGUUAAGUUUAUUAUUCAUACCUUUGUGUGUUCAUCCUAGCUUACCUCUCUUCUUAUUACCUUUUGCUGCUAACAGAGAAGCUUUGAUAGCAAAAAUCAAGGAAUUGUACAAGGAUAUUCUUGGGAGCAGCUAAAUGGAAACAUAGUCCGAUGCUGCUGCAGAGACAUGGUCAAAAUAGAUUUCAGUUGAGCAAUCUUGCAGCUUUGCUCUUCAAAAUGUAAACUCUGCUUCGAUCUUUUGUCUUUUUAUUCUAACAGAAUAAAACCCAACUGAACUAUGUCUAUAUAUGUGCUUAUCUGUAUAUUGUCUUUUCAUUUCCUCACCUUCAAUAUGUUCUCAUUAGCAGUUGGAAGUUAAUGUAUAUCAAAUGCUUUCAAGUAAAUCCAUAUCUUUGCUAAUUCAAUGGCUUAAAAGAACUUGUGCAAUAAAACAUGUUACUAUGGUUAUAUAGUCCAAUAGCUAUACAUCCAAAUCGUGAAGAGGCAAUGCCUCAUCCUAGUAGGGGUGGAGGGACUAGGGAGGUAUGGGCUCGGCUAAAGCCAGUAUCUUUGGCUCAAACUCCAUGUUUGUUACAAAAGUUGAUUUGAAUUUGUACAAGUUACUCCUAGUAACUUGAAAAGAUUAGAGUCUAGAACCCAACAACAACAACUGGAUGCAUAUCCAGUGUAAUCUCACAAGUAUAGUCUGGGUAGGGUAGAGUGUACAUAGACCUUAUUCCUACCUCGUAGAGACAAAGUGUGGUUUCCUAAAGCACCCCAAAGCAGUUUGAAAAAGGAAAUAUGAAAAUAAAAAUAAUAAUUAGGGGUGUCAAAUGGGCGGGUGGUUGAAAUUUAAAAUAUUACAAUGGGUUGAAUAGAAAUUGGGUUGGGUCUCGACCCGCCCAAGUUUACUUUGGGUUCAAAUGGGCUAAAAAACGGGGUUGGUCUUGACCUACCCAAUUUGAUCCGAUUAAUCUCAAUAAUUUAACAUAUUGAUAUAUAACUUUUAUAAUCACAAUUUGAAUUUCGGCUCAAGAAUUUUUUGUUAAAAAAGUAACAAAUUGAUAGAUAAAUUCUAAAAGAUGUUAAAUAGAUAAUAAUUCAUACUUUCAAUAUAGGAACAUAUCUUAAUAAAUUUUUUUAAAACGGGUUGAAAUUGGAGAUUGAAUUGGGCUCAAUUGAGAAUUCUCUUUGCUUGAAUGGGUUGAGAUUGAACCCAUUUCAAAUUAUCUUGAGCCCAACCCUUAAAAUUCUGGGCGGAUUGGACGGGUUACGUAUGUUUGGGUUCAUUCUUUUUUCUGAAAACUAAAAAGGAAGGCAUCAUAUCAAAUGGAACAGAGGAAUAUAUAAAUAUUAUUAAGACAGAAGUUACAAUGAGUUAAUGACAUCCUCUCAAACUAGAGAAACAAACAAGUAGUAAUAUAAAUAUUAUUAGGAAUCAACGUCAAACAUUCAAGCUGGGCUAGUUUAUAAAUUCCAGUCCCAGAGUGCCACGAAAAUACAUAAUCAUAAGAGCGAAGUAGGUUGUGGAAAUCUACUUGUAAAAUUCCAUGACCCAAAAAUUACAGACACAACAUAUUAGGUUAACACCUUUGAAUCCAGCUUCACUUGCCAAUGCCCGAAACUCCUGUUCAGAACGCUCUUUACCUCCGGGAUUCUGAGCCAUCAUGAUCAAAUCACAUUGUGAAACUCCAACCACUGUGGUAUCAGUAUCAGGUUUCACUGGUAGAUUGGCCUCCACAACAAUCACCUUUCCGUUGUCCGGUAGAGCCUUAUGACAGUUCUUCAGCAAUUUGAGGCAGUGACCAUCACUCCAGUCAUGAAGGAUCCACUUUUCAUCAAUAAACACAGAAUGCCCUUAUUAAUCAUAGGUUAUAGAUACUAUUGGUGAAGAACAGGAAUGCAAGACUAUGCAAGUAGUUAAGUUCCAGCUGACACAAGUUGUGAGCGACUUCUUUUUUAUUUCAUAAAUCGGUCAACCCAAAGUUUGUGAACCCAAAAGUAUUGAAUUUAGGUCCGCUAAUUUGUGAAACAAAAAGAAGCGUUACAUAACUCGCAUCGGUUAUGUGAGGAACAAAAUAAAGUUUGUUUGACUGAACACAAAAUCUAAGAAAUUAAAGAAGACUUUCGACAUGUAAGCCAAAUAUAUGCACAGUACAUACAUACAGCCUCUGCUAAAGAUUUGGACAUUACCUUCAUAAAAAUAGCAUCUCCUUGUGGAACACUUUCAAACAUAUCUCCCCCAACAUGAUCCACCCCUGCAAUAUUUAUUAAGACAAAUUCAGUUCAUGUUAGGAAAUUGAGAGCUACCAUUUUAGAAAUCUAUCGAUUAAAGAAUCUCGUUAUUAUUUUAAACCUCGUAUUAUAAUCUCUGUAUAACUUGUUUGCAAACAAAACAAUCCAAUGAAUUGUAAUUUAAAUCUCUAACAUUGAAACAAAGUAUAAAUCUCUAACAUUGAAACAAAGUAUCAAAGUGAACAAUAAAACAAGAAUUAAGGUACCAGGAUAGGAAGGUGCAUGUUGAACAACAUGAGGCAAAUCAAAAUUAGUGCCCUUAAUUGUGGGGUAUUUAGAUGUAAUCAUCUUGAGAUUAACACCAAGACCACCUCCAACAUCAACCAAAGUUUUGAGAUUCUCAAAACCUUUGUAAUUUUCAAGUAUUCUUUUCAUGACAACAGUUGUGUGGUUUAUCAUUGCCUGGUUGAAAACAUCAUUGAACUUUGGGUCCAAUUUUGGAUAUUCAAAUGCAUGUACACCAUGCACCCUGUCAAAUGGAACUCCACCUUCAAGUACUGCAUCUUUUAGUUCAAACCUGUAAUUUAAAUUAGAUAGAGAGAGUCAGAAAUACAACUACUAUAAUUACGCCUCAGUCUCAUCUGGAAGCAAUUAAUUCCCAAGUAUCCAGCAGACAAUAUAUUCAGUGUAAUUUCACGAGUAUGAGUCUGAUAACAUACGUACUCUAACUAUCCAACAAUUUCUUGAAAUUAUAGUGUACCCUUGAUCUUUGGCAAUUGAGUGGACACAUUCUGUUAGCAAUUUAUAUGCUAACUUGAACCAGUUGAUGUAUUUGUUAACAUGAUAACUGUAAUUAACUUACAAAUUCCAUUAGUCUCAUGAUCACAUCACUUUACACUUGAUCAGAAAUCUUUGAUUCGAGCUAGGAAAUAGACUCAUUCACUCUGUCAUAGGUCCUAUGCAUCAUGGAUUUUAAUUGGUCGGCCUAGUGAGUUUUGGAUACCAGAUGGUUCGACAGGAAAGCAUUAAUAUUCUGAGAUUCCUUCAUGAAGUAAUAUAUAGGAAUAAUUAUCUAUUUGGCCGCCCUAAUAUAAUAGCCAGCAAAGAUACAUGUUUUGUAUAUUAAGAAUAUAAUGAAGGGAUCAAAAAAGGGUCUUCAACUUUGCAUGAUAUAUCCACCUGACUCUGACUCACUUAUAUUGUGAGAAAAUCUCUAAUAUAUACUCAAUUUGUUAGGUUAUACUAGGAUGACCACAUACAAUUGACAUGAUAAAAGUUUGGUUAAAAAGAAAGAUUGCUGCAGUAAAAAGAGAAAACUGACCAGCUGUUAAUGAAUACUUUAUCUUGAAGCAAAGCCAACAAUGGUCCCAUGGAUGCACCAUCUUCAUCACGUACAAAAAAUUUCCCCACUCGUGACAGACCAUAGCGCCUUUCGGUCACCCCAUUUCCCUCUUCAACAACCGAGCAAUCGAGUAAAGAAUAACUAGCUAGGACAUAAAGCAUCCGGUCUAGCAUGGUAGCGGCAUCAGGGUUCUUACAGUUAGGCAUGUGAGACACAAUUUCUAAAGCAGAUAGUUUAGUGGCGGCUUUAUCUUUUGCGAGUAUGUCAAAAACAUCCAAUUGGAUAGUUGAGUGCAAAACGAAGGGAAGCACUGACGAUGAGAGUAGUUGCAUGGCGUACGUGCAAUUACGCUCUUCGUCUUCCGAUUGUGUUGCUAACUGGAUAUUUGCUGUCGAUCCCAUAGCUAAAAAGAACUUAGAGAUGAACAAGAAAAUGUUAUUUUUGCUGCUUGGAGUGUUUUGUUAGGCCUCAAGAUGAUGUAUAAUGGGGUUAGACUACCCUUUUAUAAAUAUCAAACCAAGAAUUGUUGUUUUGUCAAAGAUUGGUCAUAAUUGAUUUCUUGGUGGGAAUAUUAGUAAUGCGUCUGCUUUUCAUUCGUUUUUUGUUCUUUUUCAAUUGCAUAGUGGCAUUCUAUCUGUUCUGAUUUAUUUAAAAAUUAAUUUGUUAUUAAAUAUAAAAAUAUUUUCUUUUUUUUUGUUUACUGAUGAAAAAGAAAAAUAAUUAUAUAAAUGGAGACUAAUGAAGUAUAUAUCACUCCCUCUAUCUGCCUAAUAUUAUUAUUUUAUCUCACGUUCAUGACUUGAAAGCAGUAUAUUCAGUUCAAUCUGAAAAUUGUAAUAAUAACAUCUCGAAGCAGCAGUGGAUCGCUCCAUUUCCUUCUUCCAUUGUGCACAGUUACUUCCUGUAUAUGUGAGUUGGUGGUAUGUUUUUUUUUUUGUUUACUGUUUGGAUUAAAAAUUAUUGCUUUUGGUAAAAAAAAAAAAGUUAGUGAAGCAUAAGGUCCACUAAAAAAGUGGAGAGUAGGCCACUUAACAUGUGAUUGGCUGUCUGCUUUACUGAACAAGAGAAUUCAGUCAUUUUCUUCAUAUUUUCCUCAUACAAUAUUACUAUAACAUGUUUUCUUCACCUAACCAUCAUAUUAACAUACAAUUAGUUAAUUGACUCUUAGAUAAUUAAAUACAUAAAGUUUGUUUUAUCUCUUGACUUUUAACGAUGGAUAUACAAAUUCCUAUUGUAUUCUAUUAAUUUACUUCUCAUUACUUUAUCAAAAUUGUGAAUACAAACAAUGUAAUUGUCUAGUUGAAGUAGAAUAUCGAUAUUUACAAAUUUUAUUUCUCUAUUAUAUUGUUUAAUAUGUUCAAGGUUGAUAUGACCACAUUAAUAUAUGAAGAUACAUUGAAUUGCUGUUAGUUUUUUUUGAAUGUAUUACUAAAUUCUAACUAACCCCUUCUAUUUAAUGAUGACAUAUGAAGAUACAUUACAUGUGUUAUUUUUUUUUUUUUACCUUGAUACGUUGCUUGUUGAAAUUUGCAAGAAAGAGUCUUCAACUAGAGAUUUUUCUUUUUUUUAAAAACAAUAAAUAAAUAAAAUCUUUGUUUGGUAUAACAAAAAAUAAAUAUGUAUGUAUAUAUCAAAUCAUGAAAUCUCCUUUAUGAUUAUUCUUUUUCAGUCCACUUUUUCUCUGUGAUGAUUUAAAGUUGUUGCACCUAACAUUACUAGAUUUAUUUUUUCAAUCACUUUCUAGAUGGAAAGAUAACCUACUUUAAGGUUUUCUUUUAGCUUCCUAAGUAAGUGAUGUUUACCAUUUUGAAUGAUUCUCUUGUCACUUGAAAUAAUCCUAUUAAUGCUAAACUUCUAUUAAUUCUAAACCGAAUUCCACCAAAAGAAUUUCGUGACGCUACUUAUAGUCCCAUUAACUAGUAUCUUGGCUAAUGUGCUUUAACAAAAUGGUAUCAACACUACAUUAUUUUUAUGUAAAAAUAUCCAGUUCACAAAAAUCACAUGUACAUCUACAACAUUUAACCACAACUUUUCUAAAGCACAAUGAGCCUUUCAACAAGACAUUAUGAACUCUAAUUCUUAACAAUUCUAAACCACAAAAUUAUGAACUCUAAUUCUUAACAACUCACAAACCUCUCAAGAUAUAUGUCCUCAAAUCUUUAAGUUAUCCCAACUUGAAGAUUAUAAUCCAAUAACACACUAAAAUUAAGAUUUGCAUUAAUAUUACAACUCAAAUGAACACAUGAAGGCUAAAACUUGUAGUUGCAUUAGGACCUGAUUCUUCAAUGUGUUCCUUCAAUAGUCAAACAACAUUGGCGAAGCCAAUUGGUUUUUGCUCUGUGAGUGCACACCUUGUUCUGAGUGACUCUCAAGCACAACUCUUCAGAGUGUUACUCAAAACUCUCUUGAUUUAAAAUUCUACAUCAAGUAAAGUUCUUUCUUAAAAUCAAACUCCUUGAUUUCAGUAUUUCCUUGACUUAAUCCGAAGUAACCAUUAUUCGUUUAUUGGUUUUUGCACGCUUAUCUUUAUAAUGUUAGUACAGUAUAUAUAUAUAUAUAUGACCUUGUUACAAAUUCAGCUCCUUGUAACAAUAAGUAUUAUGUGAACUAGUUAUAUAGGGAACCUAACAGUGAGGUCCAUAUGCAAUUGCUAAGCCCAUAUUCGCUGAGUUCUGGCCCAAGUAUGUUCCAUUUUAUUUUGAAAGUUAAUGGCUAAGUGGGCUCAUAAAAUAAUGCCACCCGAUACCUAUAUGCCUUCUUAUUUCAUGCUACAGAUUACUAGUAUUUCAUAUUCUACAACUAAACCCCUUAAAAUUUGUACAACAUCGGGUUUUAUCAAAAUUUCUCUCCAAAUGCCUAUCUUUAUAUCAUGUUGAAAAUUGAUAUAUAGAAAAAAUUUUUGGAGGGUUGGGGGAGUAGAUUAUCAUAGAUGUGUUAUGUAUAUUGAUGAAUCUACUUGAUUUAUAUAUACAUAUUUUGAUACCAUGUUAUACAAUGUGUAUAAAAUGAUUACGAGCAAGCCUUAUAAUGUGGUAGAAUAUUGAUUGUCACUACUGUAACAUUUAGGAAAUACUACAUCUGUCAUCAAGAUGCACCAUGCAUGUGUUCACUUGCGUUUUCUUGGAGGAAAAAAAAAAAUCCCUCAGGGCUAAAAAAAAAGGGGUGGAUAAUAAAUUUGUUGACUAUUUGGGUUUGGAUUUCAUUUUUUAUUUUAUAAAAAUAUAAAUAUAGACACUCAAAAGAAGAUUCGUGAACUAUAUUUUUUUUAAAAAAGCAGUCGCCAAGUGGCGUUUUGUGCAACCACAAUUUUUUCAGUAGAAAAAUUUUGACUUCACGAACUUCCUUCGCAGAGUAGUCAGCACGCGCUCUUGCCAACAUUCCACGUCAUCUGUAUUUGAUUACGUGGCAGCACUUUUAAUACCCUUUUGUUAUAUAAAUAAACUGAGCGAGUUAACUCACUUACUCGGUUUCCAAUUGAGAGUCCAACCCAGUUUGUGGUUGAGAUUACGAUUUGUAACCCUUCCGCUUUCUAUCGUUUCGAAAAAGUGCAACCUGGGUCCCACCGAAUAGACUGAAACCACUCAUUUCAAGCCACGUGGAAUUUCUUCUACUUGCUCUUCUCUCUUAUUCAUUUUCUAGCCUCUAAUUUAUUUCCUAUUUAUUGAAAUUGAAUCAACUCCGAAAAAUACUAGUGGCUGAGAUUUUUCUUUGAGAUUUUAUGGGAAAUGAAAAACCUCUUACCUGUACUAGUUUAGUGCUUGCUACCUCUGCCUCAAACCUGCUUCCUUCCUCUUCAUACUUUUUCUUCUUCUUCAAUUAUUGAUUAAUUUCUACUUGUGAAAUGGUUUUCUCCGAUCUACCAUUGCUGUUGGAUGACUUUUCACUUCAUGCAUGACCGAAACAACAACUAGUGUUUGUUUACAACAUGGCUUUCUUCGAAGGUAAUUUUAUUUUUGUUUAUAUAUCAAAUAUCUAGGGUUUAUGCUUCGUUUUUUUUUUGGUUAGAUUUAGAUUUGAAGUUGUUGAUGAUGAAUUUUGCAAACUAGUGAGUUGAGUUUGUUGGUUUGUUUAUCACUGAUUUGUUUUUGAUUUGAUUUCUGUAAAGGUUUAGGCAUCAUGCGGUUCGUUUUGGUGAGCAAUUCUGGAUAAAGGAAUUUUCUGUCUACAUCUAUGCUGGUGGACUCUGAUUUAAUAAGAACAAUUAUAUUUUACAAAAUGAAAAAAAAAUAAUUAAUUUAGCAGAAAGUAGUACUUACUUGCUGUAUAUUUAGAAAUCUGGAGGAAGGUCUGAGAUUAUUUAUUUUUAUUUUUUCAAAAUUUUGAAAUUAAGCUUAUAUUUAUAAUUUUGAUAUGGAGAAAGGCAGGUGGAUCAUUUGUUUCCAAUGUCUGUUUGUUACAUGUUCCUCUCUUUUGCAGUAGUGUUACAUUAUCAGGUUCUUUUGUACAACACCACGGAUAGACUAUAUUUGAUAGUAACUGAUGUUGUGGGGAGAAUCGGAAGAAGAUUUGUUCUGUAUCCCCUGUUUGUCCCUGAGGAUUUGAAGCAGAGAUAGCUAGCUUUGGUUCCUUUAUUUUGAUGGACCCUUAUUCCUCAGGGGAGGAACUUGUUGUUAAGGUCCCUUGUUUUUUUUGUAUGACUAUUAACUUUUGGUUGAUAAGCUGUUUAUACAAGUCUAAUGAUUGUUGUUGUGUUAUGGCAGACAAGGAAACCUUAUACAAUCACUAAGCAACGAGAGCGAUGGACGGAGGAGGAGCACAAUAGGUUCCUAGAAGCUUUGAAACUUUAUGGGCGUGCUUGGCAGCGCAUAGAAGGUCAGAUUACGUUCAUCUUUCAUUUUAUUUGUUGAAACCACACUAUGUAGCCUAAGUAUCUUUCUGAUAAAUAUCGUUUGUGGCAACCAGUAUGCAGAUAAUCGAUUAGUGCACAUGUUUGUGAAAUACACCUUUGUUUUUGCCCCCGUCAACUUAAUCUGAUAACUUUUGUGAUGUUUCUUUUAUCAUUUACAGCUCAAUCCACUGGAUAUCCCCUAUUUCAGAAAUUGGGGUCAACAUUCUAUUCUUUUUGCGUCUAUGCAUUCUCUUACCUUGAGGCUUUUUUGUGGUUGUUUAUUUAUUUUGUUAUUUUUCUAUUGUGCAGAACACAUAGGAACUAAAACUGCUGUGCAGAUCAGAAGUCAUGCGCAAAAGUUUUUUACAAAGGUCGUUAGCUACCUUUAACCUCAUGCUUAAUUAUAGCAUUUACUCGAUUGUUCAUUGUUCCAUGGUUUAAUUUUACGUGUAUCACGCUUACUUUAUACACUUAAUUAUCAUUGUUUAUUUUAAAUCAAUUGAUAUCUUUUUGUGUAAUUGAUACGAAUAACUAAUAUCAAUAGUGGCAAUGAUCUUCAGUCUGAGUAUCACCUAUGAUAGAAAAACUUCCACAUGCUUCACCCACAAUUGUUUGUGUCAGGCACAAGGGUACAUGUUGAAAACUUAAUGGAAUAUAAAUAGGAAUAUGAAUAAUUGUCUGUCAUGCCCCAAAAAGGAAGGCUGUCACUUGGUGGCUUCAAAUCCCACCAAGGGAACCACAUUAAGAUAGCUACCCUAAAUCCCUCAAUGAUAGGUCAACGUAAGGGUCUGACAUAAAUAUAAAUUCGACAUGAGAGCAUAAUUUCUUAUUCACAAUGUACGUUAGGCCCAUGGCAAUGUUACAUAAGUAGGGAAAAGGUAACAACAUCAUCAUUAACAUUGAUGAGAAAUAAAAUGAUAGUUCCCAUGUACAUUGAUGAGAAAUAAAAUGAUAGUUCCCAUGUACAGAAAUAGACUACCAAAAGUAAACUAGAGGAUGUAGAAGACGCCAAGCAUGUACCAUCCACUUUGAACACAAUUUGAUCUAAAAUAACCAAGUAAGUUUCCCUUAAGGAGGUUGAGUACAAUUUCUAUGAAAUUACACCUUGUAAGUAUCAUUGGUACCUCACAAAGAGGUUUUGAGCAAUGUCUUUAAAACUUUAGGAUGUAGUGUAAAAUAAUGUAUUAGGAAUUUUCAUAUGCACUGAAUGAAGCUUUAGGCAAUUCAUGUGAGAAAUGACACAAGGCAUGAAAUGCCGAAAUGUUGUUCAGCUGGAAGAGUGGAUACAAGACAAGAAAGUACCUGAUGUGGAAUAUCACUCCUCUUGCGUUGAUGUGGAUCAUUUGGAGAAUAAUAAAUAAGAGAACUUUUGAAGGGGGUGAAGAUGAACUUUGCUCAAAUAAGGACUAGCCUCCGUUCUCUUAUAGUUUUUUGGUGCACCCAUGUAUAUCUAGUUUGUAUAGAAGAUUGGGUGUCUUUCGGGGCGGACCAUAUUUUGUUGGUUUUUCCUUUUUGGUAUGCCUCUUGUGUAUGACCAAGUUUGGCCUUCUUUUUAUAAAUGAAAACUUGAUUUGAUUAAAAUAAAGGUGAGAAUUGGCAUAAUUUAGGUCGAAGAGUAAUUUAACAAUUUCUUCUUUUAAGUUCCCAAGUUUCUCUAGACACUAACAUUAUCAUAUCACCAUGCGAAGUAUCAUGGCAGACAAUUGACACCUGAUUGUCAAGCCAGCCUCAUUGUAUGUGCUUAAUGGGUCAACUCUUUGAGAGGCUAACAAUCUAAAUGACCCUUUAUUUUAUGUAACCAUUUGGUUUAACUACUAGCCUACACCGGUAUGUAAAGUUCAAGAGAAAUAUUUCACCUUUUGGAAAUGAGUGCCCUCUCAAUCAUUUUAAUGUUCUACCAAAAACUCUAAACAUUGUCAUUUGACCAUUCUUUUGGCCCAGAAGUCAUCAGGAGUUUGGCAUAAUUUUAGUACAUAAAUAUAACAACAAUAACAACAUAUCGAUUAUAACCCCACAAAGUGAGGUCAAUGGAGGCUAAAGUAUAUGCAGACCUUACCACUACUUUGGAGGUAAAGGUUGUUUCCAAUGGACCAUAAAUUUUGAAUCAAACUGAAUCAUUGCUACAAUGUUAUCUUGAAAGCAAUUUAGUACCUUCAAAAUUAAGUCAAACAUUUGAACAUGAAAUGUCCUUAUUUAAUCUCAUUGAGAUUUCUCAAGUCAUUAUAAACUCAUUAUUGUGCUAUCUCUAAUUUCAAGGCAAUCAAUCAGCCAGCAUAUAGAAUAUAAGAAAUUAGAGCAUAUGCUAUCAUAAUUAUUUCAAACAUGGAAUGCACACCUUGUUCGUUCAUUACAUUUGGGGUGGUAGACAACAUUGGAUCUUUCUCUUGGGUUUUGAAUUACAGGGUUAAGACUUUCCCGAUGAACUAUCUUGGAUUGUCGCCAGAUGCUUUGAACAAGGAUCAAAGAGAGUGUAUUUGGUUCUUGAGAGGGUCGAGAAGAGAUUAUGGGGAAGAAGAAGUCCUAAAGAGGGGAAAUAAAUGCUUAUUAUGAGCACAUUAUCGAUCAUUCCCAGUUACUUCUUGUCUUUGUUUCAUGCUCUAGCUUCGAUCAAAGGGAAGUUGGAAGAUAUCCAAAGAAAUUUUCUUUGUCGGGGCGGAUGAGGCAAAGAAGUAUCACUUGGUUAGAUGGGUGACGUUCACAUCUCCAAAAAAGAAAAUGGGGAGGGCUUGGUAUUGAAGACUUAAGGGUGAUUAAUGAGGCCUUUCUUGGUAAAUGGCUAAGAAGAUUCGAGGUGGAGGUAAAUGGUGUUUGGAGAAGGGGUGAUAGUUGAUAAAUUCGAGACGGUGGGAGGUGAUUGGAGAAACGAGGCAAUUUAAGACGAUUGGAGAACUAGAGAUGUGGCUAUGCCCUUUGGGUGGUUUGUGGAGAAAUAUCAUGAAUGGAUGGGAUGAUUUCGAAGUAAAUAUCUCAAUGAAGGUAGGAGAUGGAAGGAGGGUCAACUUUUGGGGAUAAAAGUGGUGCAGGGAUACUCUAUUCAAAGAUGUCUUUCUAAGCUUACUCAUAAUAUCUUGCCAAAGUAACUUGACGAUACUACAAAUUGGGGGGUCAUAAGUUGGAGAGACUUUUUGGGACUUGAGAUUUAGGAGGAAGUUCCACGACUAGGAGAUGGCCAAGUUGCAAUGAUUGUAUACACAAGUAAUAGCGGUUGAUAAUUCCAAUACUAAUGGUUGAGGAUAGGGAAGAAUAAGUUCUCCAUUAUAUCUUAUAAUGAGAAACUUUUCGUCAGAGAAGAGGAAGUUUUUCCUUGUCAAUCAAUUUGGAUAACUAAGGUGUCAAGGACGGUGUGUUUUUCACUUGUCUAGCUACUAGAGGGGAGAUCUUGUUUUUUCUGAACGGUAACAUUUUUGUGUAUUAAUAGCAAACUACAGAAAGGGUGUAUAGUCCCCCAUAUUUACAGUCAGAUGUGUAAAAAAUUAAGCGGCAGAAAAUGUAAGAAAGCCGAACACUGUUUUCCUUAGUUGGUAUGAAAUUUCAAGGAGGUGGGAGAGAACAUGGAUCUUCUACUUCUUCUUCAUUGUAGUCAUGGUGGGAUAUGAUUGGGUAGUUUGGUAAUUCUGGGGCAAUGCUAAGAACUAUGUUAUACAGUUGGAAGAGUGAGUGAAGGAGGAAAAGACGUAGAUCAUGGAGCUUGGUUCUUUUAAAGUUAAUGUGGGUAGAGAGAGAAAUAUGAGAUCUCUUUGAAGGGGAUAGAGUCGAGAUUUUCUCCACUGAGAAGUAGCCUUUGGUCCCUUCUUUUUUGGGUGCACCCAUGGAGUUCUCAAUCGUAUAGAAGAUCUGGUGGAGUUUGCAGACAAUCAUCUCUUUUUGUAGACUAUUACCUUUUGGCAUAUUACUUGCAAAUAGCCAGGCCUCUGAUAAUGUUUAUAUAUGGAAGUACGUUUACUUGAUAAAAAGAAUUGAUUGUUUGUUGUUAUGAAAUUACACAAACAGUUAUAUAAGCUUCCAUUCGUGCAAGUUUAGCAAAAUCGUCUUAAAAGGAAAUUACAUGUUAACUUACAUUGCAAUAGCCUUCCGAACAAGCUCAACAACACUCCCCACAACCCAUUCAAUUCAAUCUACACAAUUAUAAUUGAUUUCUACCAAGUUGAGUUUACUGGGAUUCUUUUCAACUCAUUUAGAGUUUACAAAGUGGUUGCAAGCCUUCUUCCAAUCCAAUUCAAGUUUUUCAUAAUCACACUUGAUAAUUCAACACCCAAAAAUUAUUAAGCUAUUAGAAUCAUUAGAAAUAUUCAACUAUAAAGUACUAUUCGUCUUCUUCAACCAACACACAACAACCUCAAUUAAUGAUAGAACCUAGGCUUCAUUUAUUACAACUUUCCAACCAUCAAUAAACACCAUGAUAUCAUUUACCUUUAUAAUAGCCAUAAUAAAUGAACUUGGAGUGGUGUAAUCACCUUAGUAGACCAAAUCUUGAAAACCAAACUUUUGGGUGUUUUUGACCAACUUGAAGAUUUCAGAAGAAAUCUAUAGAUUCGAGCUUGAAUGAUGUUAUUACAAGUGUUUAACAGUAGUAUUUAUAGGCCUGUAUCAGUCAGGGUGCAUGCCUUUUACGCUAAAGCGCAAGUAUCUAGUUCUCGCAACUUUUAGGUCAACUUUUCCCGCUUAUUUACGCUUUAGCGCUGCCCAUUGACUACAUUACUACCCUUCGGUGAAGGCAUAAUUUUUUGUAGGUAUGUCAAAAAUGAUAUGGUGUCAACCAUCGGAGUCUAGUCUUCGAGGGCUACAAUUUUAAUGUGUUACUCACAGCCUAGUUUCUUAGAUAUUGGGAGAAGUCUUUGUUUAAAGUUAGACCUUGGGCAACUUCUUCCAUAUUUUGUUUCUGUUGACCUUUCUACCCCUCCAAAUCCCCAACACACAUCAUAUUUUGUUGACACGUUCCAAGGAUUUACUAGCCUUAUGUGGGUCUCAGACACUUCAGAGCUAUCUUAAGUACUUUGUUAACAUUUUUAGUUGGCGUGAAUAAACCUCCAAAACUUACGGGGCAUUACACCAUCUCCUAAGAGCCUGCAGCUUUUAAGUAGCGGUGAAUUAUACUAUUUGAGAUGCUUUAGGCAGUGCUCUUGGUUUGGAUGUUCCUGUUCUGCAUAUGUACAUCACCUAGCCUUAAGUAUUUCUGUGAGUGAUUUGGUUGUAUGACAUUAGAAGCUAAAACUCAGGUAUGAUAUUCUCAUCCAUUUUUCUUGGGUUUGUAAUGUGCCUUGUCAUGUAAUAGUAUGUAUGUGUAUGCAAACAUUUUCAUGAUUAUAAGAGUGGUCAUAGUCUCAAGGUAUGUCGAGGCUGAAUUAUCCAGUCUUUUGCAUUUUGCAGUUAUUUGAUUUAUAAUCCACUGCAUAGCUUGAAACCAUAUCUGCGAUUAAAUUUUUGUAAAGUGUGAUAGUAAAUUAACUUUAACAAUGUGGGAACUGUGGGAAUGAAUUUAAUUCAUGAAAAACUGAAAAAGAUUUCAUCUAUACAAAUAAAGUUCAUCAGUUCCAGUGCUACAACUUAACGUGCCUGCUUCAUGAUUCCUAUCAUCUUUUCAGUAGACAGACUUCUCUUUAGAGAGUGACUUGGUUAGUAUGUCUGUUAACUAUUUAUAUGUUGUGCAAUGCUCAAGUUAAAAUAGACCAUUUUCAUAAACUUCUAAGCUGAAGUUGUAUUUUAUGAUUAUGUGCUUUCUUCUAUCGUGAUUACUUUGGUCUCCAAUUAUGACUGUGGAAGAUUUGUUCUUACCAUGGAUCACACUUCGUUCUGCGUCUUUAUACGCAAUAUAUUUACUUAGACAAAUAACUCAUGGAUUUUUUAAAAUAGAAAUAUCUUCUGUUUCAGAGAAUAAUUAGCAACAAUCUUUACAUUUAUUUUUUGAUAACCAAGAAAAUAUUCCUCAUCAAAGUGCAAGUAAAAUCUUGGAAGUGCUUUUCACAUCAUCCUAACUUCCAUCCCAAUCUCUGUCUGCGUAACUAAUCAAGCUAACAUCAUCUGCACACAAUAUGUAUUCCAUGGUCGAGAACUUUCAAGUAUCUAAUGAAUUUCACUUGGUUCUGACAUGAAUGUUGACAGCAAAGUUGUUGCAAAUGCUACGUAAGUUUUUGUAGUAAUAAGGUAUAACAACUUGUCUAUCAGGCUUCUAUAUUGAAGUAACUGAUCUUUUCACAUUAUUUUCUUUCUAUUGUCAUUCAGUUCCUGUGGGAUAUCCGCUGCUUGCAGUUCUCCGUUUUGAAUUGAUUAAGGAUAUUGAUUCAUAUUCCUAUCAGAAUGAAUAUCUUCCUUUAUUUGACACACUUCAAUCUCUUGAAAAAAUAAUGCAGGAUUCACGUAUCUGUCCUCUCAUUAGUUCUCCCCCUGUCGCAUUUGCAUUCAUUCAUGGGGCUGGAUUUUUUACUGAAAGUCAAUCAUCUACAUAGAUGCAGAGUAUAAGCACCUAAAUCCUGUUGAUCAAAACAUUAAACUUGUGUUCAGAUUUACUUUAUGGGAAGCCUUGGGGAGAAUGAGAAAACAAUUAUUUUCAUUGUAUCAACAUUUAGGAGCUUCUUUUAACCCAUUGCCCUAAUCAACCUACAAAAACUAUUUCUUUUGUAAGAAACGAACUCUAUACUCUCCUCUCACUUACAAACCAUGAGAUUGGUCAACAUAAAUUUUCUUAUUGGAUUUUUUUUUAGAUAAUUAAUUUCCUCACAAAUUCCUAGAAACAUGGUUCUUUUUAAAUGGAACUAAGAUCAAGUUGAGAAGUCUACCAUUUAUUUUGAGUAGCAAUAAAUCAACAAUAGAAUGGCUUCUAUCUGCAAUAGGUGAGAAUGUCAAUAGCAAAGUGCUCUAUAUUUCCAGGAAUUCUCCUGCCACCAGCCUUGCUUUAUUUUCUGCAAAGAGUCAUUUAAUCUAACUAUAUUUUGAAUAUCCAUCAAAGCACACUCAUAUUCUUCCUUAAGGUAGAUAAACCACCUUAAUUUUUGUUCUGGUAAAUUAUGUGUCCCUUUGCAUUGCCUCCUUUAGUAGUAGGGCUUCUUCUUUCACUACUUCUGGCACAUUUCUGGUGGUUCAAUUGUUAUAAAAGUUUGAAAACUUUAUAUUUCGCUCGGACUCUUUCCUUUUUGGAGGAGAAGUUGAAACUUGUUGGGUAUUCUGCGAUUGGAUUGGAAUUUGAAGUUCGAGAGAAAUAAUGAUGUUUCUUCAACUUUUGCUUCCUUGCUUGACCUGACCUGCGCGUUACAUCAAAUUCUAAUUAUCAUGCUCAUGGAAAAAUGACUUUAUUGUUAACAACAGGUUUCUAGCAUCAAUAUUUAGCAAGAAAUAUUUUAGUUUCACAAAACUAUAGUUACAACUUAACAGAAAGAAUCUUCAGUUUCCCAUCAAAUUUGCUACUUUUUGUCAAUAUGAUUAUGAGCAUAACAUAUGCUGUGAAAAACUUUAUAAAAUAAAAUAAAAACAAAUGUGUAGAAAAUUCUAAGAUGAAUUACAUAUGCUUUCACUCCACUCUGGCUUUUGGAAUCUCUUUUGUCAUAACUUUGGUAGGACAAUGAUUCAGGAUGUAGACUGUUGUGUUUGCAAUCUACUGCAGGAAUUGUUAAGCCUUUCUAAUUCAAUAUAGGUACCUCUAGGUAGGGUACCGAGUCGUUCCAGCUUGAGAUUUUGCUUGGCUCAGUUUCAGUCAAAGAUUAGCUUAAUUUAUCUCCGUCUAGGUCAGAAUGCAGCUAGGCGCAGUGACUGUUCUUGGUCAUGCUGGGGCUCAACCAAGUAAACUAGGCUCGAAUUUAUAUAGCCAAGUUGAGCUCAAUCAAAAUUUUAAUCACAUUAUAACUUGAGCCUACUUUAUGAUUGAGGUGAAAUAUAAUUACUUAUAAAAUACUGAUGAAGGUGAAAUUGUUAAAAUCUUGAAGUGAGAAUUCUAAAUUAAUGAGUCAACUUAUUACAAAACUUUUUGAAUUUAUUACUAAUUUAUUUUUUGCUUGGAAGUUAAGUUUUGUGUUUAAUUGAGGUUGUUUGAGUUUGAGCACUAUAUAUAAACUAGUAUCUUGUAGAAUUCAAUGACAUGAAUUCUAAUAUCAAAUUAAACUAUAAAUCUUGUACUUCUUAGUUCUUAUGUCCCAUUUCAUGUGGAAAACUUUCCUUUCUGUUUUCCGGAAAAGAAUUGACACAUAUUUGUAUUUGAAGGUAGUUUAACUUUAAACUUCCCAUUCUAGCCUUAAUCACAUGAUUUUAUAGCCAUAUGCAUGCCUUGACAUGUUUGAGGCUACAAGUUUUAAAAGGCAGUCUUUGUUUCUUAAACUUCGUACCAGUCAAACACCCUUACAUAGAAUAAGACAAUAAGACAGAAGGAAUGCACCUUUCUAUAAAUCCAUCUAUUCUGAAAGUAAUUUUUCUUUUCUUUUCUUUUUUAAGAAAACAAUUGUAAAAGUAAAUUUUCCUAAAGUAGUGCUGCACCGAAGCAAAAGUUAUAGUCAACUUAGACUUUGUUUUUUUGAUGAAGAAAUUUCAUAUAAAAGGCAUCAAGAAGAUGCAGUAAGGUACAAAAGAGGGAAGGAGAAGUCAACUCGGUACAAAAAGUGCUAAGCUAGAGCAAAGAGCUGACACUAAUUUCAAUUAAAUUUUAACUAUGUUUUCCCCUUAAAAGUUGAAGAUUUGUUUUGAAGCCUUGAAGGUCCUGAGGGCUAAACUUUCUCAAUUCCUCAUAAAUUCUCCAUAUUUUCACCAUCAAAAGCUACUCAUGAUCACAUACAAAGCUUGUAUAAAAGAUUAGAGUCAUUACCUUGAUGCUUUGGAAUGAAAUCUCUAUUGUUCACCUCCUCUUUACCUCUCUUUUUCUCCUUUUUUUUUUCUCUCUGCGCAUAACUUCUUUGUUUUUGCUUCUGUUAUUUUAUUACCCUCAUUAGAGCUGCUAUUUCUGUCAGAUUUUGAUUCUCUUCUUUUCUUGGUCUUGAUCAGCUUGUUUGUUUUUUCCUUGUUUAAUUAUAUUUUCCAUCUCUCAUAAUCAAAAGACUAUUACUCAAUUUAAAUAUUGGGGUUAUUACAAAUUGGGGAAAAGACUAGAGGUGGAUUAGUGUAGAGAAAUGUUCUAUUUUUACUCCGAGAUAUGACGGGAGGCACUUGAGCCAAGAUCUGUGAGCCAAAAAGUGAAGGUAUGUAGCCUAACAUGAGUGGAUUUCCUGGUUGACCUAUAAUAGUAGUAGAUGAUGAUGAUGAUGAUCAUUGUCGUGUAACUAUUUGAUGCUAUAUAUAUUCAUCUUACUAGCUUGGAUCAAGUAAUAGAGUGAGUAGAGGUAGAACAUAUUCUUCAAUUCCCUGCUAUUUUACAGAAAUUGAUGAGUAAGGAUGAUUUUGAUUAGGAAAGAUGAGAUUCAACAGAGGUGUUGAGCUAGAAUGCAACAAGGCCUAGCUGACCUGGGUGAACUAGCUACUGUGUAGAAAAGCUUCGGUUGAACCAUGUAGGAUGACUUUGACUAGGAAAGAAGAUUUAACAAAGGAAGUUGAGCUAGAAUGCAAUAAGCGGCCUAGGCGACCUUGGUGAACAGGUUACCGCUUAGUAAUGGUUGCUAGACAAGUUUCAGGCAUUGGAAUGUGAGUCAUCAAUGAGAAGAAGUGGCAUGUGAGUCGAGGCGAGACAAAAGAGAAGUUGUGUCAUGUGUGCCGAAACUGGUGAUUUUGAGCUAGAGUGCAACAAAAGGCCUUGGCGACCUUAGUGAACAGGUCACUGUCUAGAUCUGUAGUUACAUAAUUAAGAAUAUUCACAAUUAUGAUUAGCAUAUCACAUAACAUUUAAUAAAUAUACCCCAGGAGCAUGCCUUCAAAUUGAAUAUAUAUGAGAGCUUCAUAUAGAAAAUGGCUUGGAAAGCUGUACAAUUUAAGAAACAAGAAAAAACUUCUUUGCAUAUCAGUAUGUCUUUACAUCCCAUGAGAAGCGGUAUUUAUACAUGUGAAUCCUAACUGGUUAUGGAAAGACAAUCAGUUAUAAUAAAAGAAAAUAUUAUAUUCAUGUAGUUACGCUAGGAAAAAGGAAAUAAAGUCUCCUAAAAUUAUGCUAAUUAAUCAACACAAUCAAUACUCCCCCUCAAGUUGGAGCAAGGAUAUUGUACUUUCCCAACUUGCAAACCGAAGUAUGAAAAAUCUUUUUGCUGAGCCUUUUAUAUGCACAUCCGUGAUUUAAUUCUUGAUGGCACAUGAAGAAAACUCAAAGUGCCACUAGUAACUUUCUCUUUGAUGAUCUGCCAAUCAAUUUCAAUAUGUUUUGUUUGGUUGUUUUGAACAUGAUUCUGAGCUAUACUAAUUGCACCUUUGUUGUUGCAGUGCAAGGAAAGUUUCCCCUUUUUAGAUAAUCUCAAUUCUUCCAGUAACUUUUGUAGCGAAAGAAGCUUACAAACACUUGAUCUUGCAGCUUCACUUUGCUUCUUACUUCUCCAAGUAACUAGAUUCUCUCCGAUGAGUGUACGUUAACCGGAUGUUCUUUUGCCAUCUCAAGAUCCAACCCAAUUCACAUCUUUAACAGCUUCUCUGUGGAGGUGACCUUGUUUAGAGAAAAGCAAACCUUUCCCCUGAGUGAACUUUAGUUACCAUAAAAUGUGAAAGACUACUUUCUUAUGAGGUUCUCAGGGAUCAUGCGUGAACUGGCUCACCAAGCUAACAAAAUAGGUCGGUGGAUCUAGUUUGAGAUAGAUAAAUGAGUCUCCCAACCAACCUCAGAGAGUGAAAUGAGAAGAGUGAGUUUACCCUUUUAAUGUCUUAUUCUUUUUGAGACAAGUAACAGUUCUAUUCAAUAAAAACUUAGCCACCCCAGAGAAAGGUGCUAAGUUGGAAACUUUACAAGCAUCGAAGAGGUACUUAAACCCUGCCCAAACCCUAUAAAAUUAUAUAUUUCCAAUUUAAUAUACUUGGUCUCCUACUUCCCCCACAUAUUCUGUCUACACCAGAAAAGAACAAGCUAAGACAAUUCAUCCUAAUUUUCUCGAUAGAACUGCUAGUGCCUUCAAAUGUCUACCAUUCCUUUCCUUCCACACUGUCCUCCAAAUGAAAGCAGGAAUGAUCUUCCACCAGUCCUCCUCCCCACCUCUAUUCCGAUACUCCACCAAUUGUUCAGCAAUGCCAAAGUAGAACAAGGUGUUACUCAAGUUAUUCCCAAAAUACAAAAGAACUUGUGCCACAGAUUUAUAGUUGUCCGUGUAGGAAUAAGUGUUCAUAGAUUUUCACCUUCCUCUUCACACAGAAGACAUCUUGAAAAAAUCUGAAGACCUCUUCUUUGUAGCUUAUCUUGAGUUAGGCAAGCUGUCCUAAUCACCAACCAGACAAAGAAUGACACCUUCAUAGGGAUAUUCACUUUCCAGACUUGUUUGCAAGGCCAAUUUUCAUUUAAAGAUCUCUUUGAUUUAACAGCCGGUACACUAAUUUUACUAAGAACGCCCCUUUACUGUUUAGUUUCCACUUGAGCCUGUCAGUAGAAUCUGUGCAUCCACCAAAAGUUCGCAAUAUCUGAAGCAUUGUGAUGAAACUCUCUACUUCCCAGUCAUUGAGAGCUCUUCUAAAGAAGUUGUGAUUGGCAUUUUUUUGCUGGUAAUCAAAAGAGAUCAUCGCUUUUGAGAAACCAAGCUCUAUGAAUUUGCUUAAAUCCAUACAUGGAUUUCUUCGAUCUAUGCACCUUUCCCUGACUCUAUUCAAUAUCAUAUCCAGAGGAGUUUCUCUAUAUAUAUACCUCUUCCUCUAUAUCUGUAUGAAGGAAUGUAUUCUUCACAUCAACUGGUACAAGUUCCAAUGAGGAUUAGCUGCACAUGACAAAAGAAUUCUGAUAGUGUUCAUCCUUACAACUUGCUAAUUGUCUCCUGAUAGUCAACUCCAUAAGUUUGAGUGAUUCCCUUAGCCACUAAUCUUGCUUUGGAUCUUUCAUUCGAACCAUUAGCUUUAUGUUUCACAGUGAGAAUCCAUUAGCAGCCAAACUACUUUUUGUCCGGUGGUGAAGUAACAAGUUCCCAAAUCUCGUUUUCCAAUAAGGUCUUCAUUUUUCAAUCAGAUCUUGCUUCCAUUUAAGACCUGUAAAAGCUUCCAGUAAUUAUGGGAAAUAGACACUGAAGAAAUAGACAAGUCUAUUGCUAUAUUUAUGCUAGAAAAAGCAAAAACAAAGUCUCCUCAAACUGUGCCUAGUUAAUUUACAUAAUCAACAAAAGGAAAUGUCGAUUCUGAUUUUUCAAAGCUGUCUUUUUUGCAUAGAACUAUCCUAUGUAUUUAUUGGCUCAUUGAGUUUUUCACUUUAACGGCAAUUGGUUCUCUUCUUGACUGAAGACUACAACAAUCCCAUAUUAGAAGCAUCACAUUUAACUUCAAAAACAAAUUUGAAUUUGGUAGAGAAAGAAUAGGUUCAUCGGUCAUUUUUUCUUGAUGAGCUCAAUCUUCUGUGUCCUAACCACCCAAAAGAUUCCACCUUUUAAACAUGCAGUAGUAAGAGAGAAUUGUGUUGAAAUUUUUGAUUAACUUCCUGCAAAAGAAGCAAGGCCUAAAAUGUUUAAGAGGUUUUUUUUGUAUUGAGAGGAGAAAUAGAGAACAUGCAAAAUGACUUUUCACUUAUUGGUUGAAAGAUCUGUUUCCCUAAUUAGUCCAAUGGAAGUAGUAGCUGAUGGCACCGUUAGGACUAAAGUAAAAACAUAGUUUGAAGUUGAAAAUUUAAACGUGUUGCUGUUGUUUUUUUUUCCUUUCACAUCAAAGGUAAAUCGUGAUAAUUUUCAUUACCUGAUGUCUAGUCUUUCAGAGCAUGUCAUUUAUGGUGUAUUUUCAAUGUGGAGAAUAUGUUGAGUGUACCUAUCUCAAUAUAAUGGAUAUAUCAAGGAUAUAUUACUUGUUAUAACUCAGAAAUGUCGUAGGAGAGAGAGAUCUGCGUUUAGGAGUUAAGCUUAUUCCAUUCAAGACAAGUAACUACUCAAAUGCAAUGUUGCUUGGACUCUUUAAAAAUAUCAUUUGGUGUUAUCGGAUCCUCCAGAAGUAGUGCGUUUUUGGAGGAUCCAAAAUGGAUACAACAAUAUUUUUGGAGAGUCCAAGCCACAACUUGAACGGGAUCACGGAGAUUUGAAGAGGAUUUCUAAGGGAGAAUCUUUGUAUUGUAUCAGCGCCAAGUCCAUUCCUGUUUGAACUCCCAAUCCACACUCUAGUUGUACUUGGGCGUGAUUAAUUGGGGAAUGGACAUGUGUUUUGCUUAUAUGGACUUGGGCAAUCCUCUCCUUGUGAGCUAGCUUUUGAGGUUGAGUUAGACUGAAGUUCCAUAUCUGUAAGUGUAUCAGAGUGAGGGCUCCAUCCCUGUUUGGGCGUUCGGUCCAUGCUUUAGUUGAGCCUAACCGUGAAGGGGAGUUGCAGAGUAGGUUAGAGUCCCAUAUCAAUUGGGAAUGACUGGUGGUCUGGUUUGUUUGUAUGAAUGUGGAUAGUCCUUCCUUCGCGAGCUAGUUUUUUGGAUUGAGUUAGGUCCAAAUGUCAUGUCUUUACACCUAUCAUACAUCAUCAUAAUAAGAGCUUUUAAGUUGCCCAAUGUCAACAUUUAUGAUCAAGACUACAUGCUAAAGUAAUCUUUACAUCAUGGCACUUAGACCAAACAUACAUAUUCUACUCCCACAGGGUUAUUGCAGAGCUUCCGUGUUUCUUUUAUUGCACUUGUCCCUAUAAAGUAAGGUGCAAUAGAACUUAAAAAUCUAACACCUAUUAGCCUUAUUGGUAGUGCUUACAAGAUCCUGGCGGAAGUGCUUGUUGAAAGGCUUAAGAAUGUGAUUGGAGGUCUCGUCUGUGGUUUUUAGAAUGCCUUUGUUCAAGGAAGGAAAAUCUCUUAUGCAACUCUUAUUGCCAAUGAUGUUUUGGGCUGGAAACAGAAAAGUGGUACCUAUGGUCUUCUUUUUAAGCUUGAUAUAGAGAAAGCUUUUGAUAAGCUGAACUGGUCAUUCCUUAUCUCAAUCCUAAGGCAGAUGGGGUUUGGAGAAAGGUGGAUUAUAUGGUACAAAUAUAGUGUCUCCAUAGUAAAGUAUCUAUAUUGGUAUAUAGAAGUCUUGUGGGCUUUUUCUUAUGAGAGGCAUUAAGCAAGUGAUUCCCUUUCACCCUUCUUAUUACCUCCCGACUCUGGAGGGGUCAAGUAAGAUAUUAGAAAAGACCAAACAAUCACAUUGGCUAGUAGGAUUUAUGGUGGGCAAUGGUUUUGUUUGAAGUUUCUAAUCAUAUUUCUUGUUUGGUGACGACACACUUAUCUUCUACGAAGCUCAGAAAUCCCAAGUGCAGUACCUUAACCUGACUCUUAUGCCUUUUGAAGCCAUGUCAGGACUCAACAUUAACAUGUCUAAAAGUAUUAUCUACCUUUUAUGAGGUCCCUGACUUGUAGAAUUUGGCAGGCCUCGUGUAUUGCUAAAUUGGUUCUUUGGGGUUACCAUUGGGGGCUAGUUGCAAAUUUGUUGGGUCAAUCAAAGUAACCAAAAUUGAUUGACUAUUUGGUAUAGAUUCCAAACCCACGUCAUAUCGACACGGGUGUGACACCGAAAGUAAGGAGUCCAUUUAACUUAGUUAGAGAGUGAGUACAUAAAGUAUUCAAUAAGUUUGAUACUCCUCCCUCUAAAGGAUGGUACACGCCUUUAAGAAAACAUACAUAACAUUUAUAAAUCAUUUACUUCAUAAAUCUAUCACUUAGAGCAGUCAUUUGUGUUGUAAAGAACAUUUAGCAUCCCAGACUUAACCAUGAGUUUUCAGAUCAUGUGCAUGUUAUAGAACACCUUCAUAGGGCUCAUUUGAAACAUAACAGAUGUCAUAGUUGUUAUAACAAGUCCUUCUUUGUUCACGAGAGCCAUCAUUUCUUACAAUCAUUCCACCCACGAAGGCCAUACUUUCAUAUGAUCAAUGGGUCAUCAUACCUUUUUGUAAUUUACCUCUGAGGGGUUAGGUUCUUGAUACUUCAUCCAUGACGACCAUACUUGCUCAUAUUCAUGUUUCACUCACGAGGGCAAUACAUAUUCAAUUCAAUAUCACAAUGUGGCUUAACAUGUAUCACUUCAUUCUAUUGUUCAUAAACACUUCAUUUAAACAUUUUUACCUCCUUUUAUAUUUGUUGCCUCCCUCCCUAUGAGCUCCCAUAUUUUUUACUCCCUUGAACUCGAACCCACAACCUUAGGGUUGGAGGUGGAGGGUGUUUAUCAUCUCAACAAACCUCUCUUGCCACUUCACUGGUGUUUAUCAGGGCUGGAUAUCUGUCGCAUGAGCAAAUUAAUAUAGGGGCCCAACAUCGUCAAACAAGAAUUGCGAUGAGCCCUACUCUGUUCAACAUGUAAAUAAAUGAAUCUUGGGCCUAACUCAACCCCCACAAUUUAGCUCUUGGGGUUGAGUUAGGCUCAAGAUUCAUUUCUUUAGAACAUUUUGUGCCUCAUUUUGGGUAGCACAAUUAAUAUUAAUGCAUUCACCAACCUUACAUUUAUUUUGUUCUCAUUUUUAAGCAUUCAUAUACAUUUUUAUUCAUAAUAUUGAGUGCAUAAGCUGAAAAGAGCUCAAAGCAUAGUAAUAUGUCUCUUCAUAGCAUAACACAACUACAAACACAAUUUCAUAUGGUGAAACUUACAUAUAUUGGUCCCCACACACACAUCCACAUUAAAAUUUGAAAUCACAUUCAUCAUAAAAACAUUUAAAUCAUGUCAAAAAGGCGGAAAAGGAACAGCUCGUAUGGGGUUUAUAAUGGAUUUGCAUUUUGUCUUAAUCGUGAAGUCUAGUUCUUCUUUCCUUGUUCUCUUUUUACCAUUUGGUCUUUUGGGGGAAUACCAGUGACGAGGGUUAAAUAGGAUACAGUUGGCAUUUAACAUCACUUCUAUAUGACUUCUAAUAUUGAAAGUUAAUGACUGCUGAGAUUCCUAAAAUGACUGUUAGAGGGGAGGUAUGUAUUUCCAAUUUAGAGGUGAGGUCUAUUUAGUUGCACUAAUUACAAGAAGUAAAAAUACUUGGCUGUUUUCCACUGUUUUCUGGUUGCUAUUUGAUUCAUCUGAAGCAUUUAAAUCUGAAAAAGAGAAUCUACAAAGUAAAUAGACUAUCAAAGACGAUAAGAUGAAAAUGCUUUUUAGAUGCACACUCGUAAAAGGGUGAUUUAGAGUCUGCAACUCAUGGACAUGAUUGGAAGCUUCAAAUGAAGACAAUGACAGAGAAUUGGCUAUUUUAGGCAUUUAAGUUUUAUGACUUCACAAUAUGCAGACUAUAAGAUCCCGUGGUGAGAGGUCAUUACAUGAGCAGUUUCAGCACCUUUUGUACCACUCGUAGUGACUUUCUGUAGAGACAUCCAGCUCCUAGUACUAGUCUCUGUUUUACUUUGGCAGCUAUACCAGGCCUGUGAGAAUUUAGCUAUUGGCAUGUAGUUAAGAUAGAUCUAUUCGAUAGAAUGUCCAGAUGAUUCAGCUAUAUGCAAUUCCAAUGAUCAAUUAACCCUGAUUGCUCCUCUUUUCAUGUUGAAAUUGUCUUAUAACCAUUGUGCUAAGUAACUAGUCUGUGGACUGACAUUUUAGUUUCCUAAUCUGGUCCAGUUAGAAAAGGAGGCUCUUACAAAGGGGGUCCCAACAAGUCAAGCACUUGACAUUGAAAUUCCUCCUCCACGACCUAAAAGGAAACCAAGUAAUCCUUAUCCUCGUAAGACAAGCGCAGCAGGUCACUCAUCACAGGUGGGAGCAAAAGAUGGGAAAUAUUCGACAACUUUUUCUUCCAUCUGUGAGGAAAGGAACUUAUUUGACCUGGAGAAAGAACCGAUUACUGAGGUAUGGGUUUCUCUUGAUCUUGCACAUCUUUUACUUUGUUUUCUUUAAAGGCCUAGUUGUAUUCUUGUUCUUUAUCAGAAACCUGGCGGAAACGAGAAGCUGGGCAAUGUAAAAGAAACCCAGAACAAGAAAAACUGCUCCCAAGGGUUAACUAAGGAAGGUGCUUCUGCAGCCUCUAUGUCUUCAGGAAAGUCCUUGCAAGCACAUGUGGCACCUACAGAUGUGUGUGCCUUUAGUGAGUCUGUGUCUGUCACCAAAGGAGUGGUUAACAAUGAUAACGCAAAUAAAUCUUUUCUCAUUGUUGAAUCCAAAGAACAUCAACAGUCAGAAAUACUCGAUAUCAGACAGUCCUUUCAAGGUAACAGCUCCUGUAACACCUUUGACGGGGGGAAAUCUUGCCAGUCGAGUGAAAAGUUGGCACAAGGUGAGAAAAAACAUCCAUCGUUUCAGCCAAACCAUUUGGGGGAAUUCUCAAGAAAUGAUAUGCAAGUGCUACACAACUAUCCAAGACAUGUGCCAGUGCAUAUUCUUGAUGGAACAAAUGGUUCUCAAAUAGCCCCAGAUAUGUUUAAUCAUGAAUCUACGAGUCAGCAGAUAAAUGGGGUCCCGGGGCUCCCAAAUUUGUAUUCUAACCCUGCUUCAUCCACCACAUCUGAGCACCACAGUAACGCUCCACAGUCAUCCAUUCAUCAGUCAUUUUCUUGUUUCCACCCCAUUUUCACCCCUAUUCGUGAUCCAGAUGAUUACCGAUCGUUUUUUCAAUUAUCCUCCACCUUCUCCAGCCUUAUUGUUUCUGCUUUAUUGCAAAACCCAGCAGCACAUGUCGCAGCAAGUUUUGCCGCUAGCUUUUGGCCUUAUGCAAAUAUGGAACGUCCAACGGAUUCUCCAACUGAUAACACCGCUAGCCAGAUUAACUCAGCUCCUAGUAUGGCAGCAAUUGCUGCUGCCACAGUAGCAGCUGCAACUGCAUGGUGGGCAGCCCAUGGGCUCUUACCAUUGUGCUCUCAAUUUCAAAGCAGUUUUACCUGUGUUCCUACAUCAGCAACAUCAAUGCAAGUGGAUGCCUGUCAACCUAGAGUAGACAAGAACGAAGGAAGAGAGGGAACUCAUGAUUCUCCCCAUGUUCAGGAACCUGUCCCAGAAUGCUCUGAAGCUUUGCAAGAACAACAAUCAGGUUCUAAGUUGCCACCUUCUCUAUCAUCAGAAUCGGAGGAGAGUGAAGGUAGGAAGCUAAAAACUGGGUUAACGGCCACUGAUACUGAGCAAGGAGCUGCAGUUACUAAAAUUAAUGAGCCAAACGCAGAAAAGGGCGGGAAGCAGGUAGAUCGCUCUUCCUGUGGAUCCAACACACCUUCAAGUAGUGAAAUUGAGACAGAUGCUUUGGAGAAGGAUGAGAAAGGUAAAGAAGAGCCCCAAGAAUCUAAUAUUAACCUUCUAGCUGGAGAGGCUGCGAAUCGGCGUUAUAGAAAUUUCAUCAGUCCAACCGAAUCUUGGAAAGAAGUCUCCGAAGAGGUAAUGAAGCUUUAGUUCUUGUAAGUCCUCCAGUGACCAUUUCUUGCUUUAAUGAAUAUUUUGCUUCCCACCUUUUGCUACAGGGACGGAUAGCUUUCCAGGCUCUUUUCACCAGAGAAGUGUUGCCUCAAAGUUUUUCUCCUUCACUUGAUCUGAAAAAUAAGGGAAAGAUCAUUCUUGAAAAGUUGAAGCAAAAGCCAGACGAGAAAGUUCAAUGUGGACCGCAGUUAGAUCUUAAUGAUAUGGCAUCCAAUAUCUGUUCCAGUCACCAAACAAUGGAAGACAAUGUGUUAUUAAUUGGCAACAAAGAAGAUGUAGAAACAUGCCUACCAAUGAUAGAACUUGGACAAGUAAGGUUGAAAGCUCGCCGUACUGGAUUUAAGCCUUACAAGAGGUGCUCAUUGGAGGCAAAUGAUAGCAGGGUGACAAGUUCUAACUGUCAGGAUGAAGAAAAAAGCUCGAAAAGACUUCGGUUGGAAGGAGAAGCUUCUACUUAGUGUUGUAUCAAUGUGCAAUUCUACGAGGGAACCUGUGUUGUUGCACGGAGAGCUCUAUUCUAUCCUGUUAUUAUCUUUUCCCAGUUACGUUGUCUAGUUCUAAUGUACACGAAACUUGUCGUGUAGGUGUGUACCAUAUUAUUUUUAUGUUCUCUUUUAAUUGGACUUGUAUGCAAGGGACUUUGAAGUAUGAACCUAAAUGUGGAUGUCUUCAACAAUCAUAGCAAAUUUAAUGGACCUUGAUUGGACCAGUUCCUCGGAAGCUUUUGUUUGUGUUUAUGUUGACGGUUUUUUAUGUGAAUUUGGCGGGUCGUAAGAAUCAAGUUAACAUAUUCCAUUGGUUUUCUCUCUCUCUAUAUAUAUAUAUAAAGAGCUUUAUCUCUUUCAAGGACAAAUAAAAGUAAAUAUUUUUAUACUGUAGAAGACCAGAAAAAGUGGAGCAUGUGGUUAUAUCUUAAAGAAACAAGUUUAUUCACAAUUAGAAAUACACCUAGCUUGGGAGGUAGGAUAUAUACAUGUGUGUGUGGAAUCUGUAUUGGAUGUCCUGCAAGGUUUGUACAUUCAAGUUCUAAAAAUUUAAGAGUCUCGUAGAGUGUUUUUUUGUAAAAAAAAUAAAUCUCGAAGAUAAUAUUACUAAAAUAUUCAUGGGCUAGCAAAUAUGGAGAGAAUACUUAGGAAUUAGACAUCCUUGUGUCAGACACAUAUCCAUAUGUAUCAGUCCAGUUUCAUGAUGAAGCAAUCACAAGUUCCCUGCUUGACAACAUUAUCAUAUCUACAAUACUAUAACCAUCAUAAUAAACUUAUCUAAGUCUGUUUCUAUUUUCAGAUUUUCUGGUUACCAGCUUCAAAUGUAGAUGACUCUCCUCUUAAUUAAGAAUUCCUCCUCAGAUAAACAAGAAAGUACCAUGCUUAAUGAACUUGAUUCAAGUAAAGACAAGCUUAAAAUACACUUUACACAAAUUUCAAAACUGUCCCAAUUGGGUAUAUAUGUGAUGUAGUCCUACUAAGAGCCGCCAAGAUGAAGUUAAUAAACAAUUCCUCACAUACGGAUCAUCUUCUCACUACACUGCUCAUUGACCAACAUUCAAAAUGUAUACUAGUGACCUAGACUCUAGAGAAAAAGAACCUAGAAGUUUAUAUCUUGCCCAUAUCAGCUUAUCUGCAUUAUACAUUCUACAUUCUGCCAUUUGCAUUCUCCAUUAUGAUUAUGCAACUGUUUCAAGUGAUGACCUUCCCAUUUAAAAGCUUAAGUUGUUACAGAGAUGGACCACUUUCUUGCAUAAUGCAGUGACACAGUAACACAGUGUUACUUCACAUGUGCAAAAUAUUACGAGGCUGUAAGUCAAUACUCAUACAAUUCUUUGAUUUGUUCAUCUAAGACUCUUAAUGUUUCAUAUAUGAGUCCUCUCAAUUGGUGAGAAUAGUCACUAGCGGCAAAUACACUUUUCUUCCUUUCCACUUCAAUCCAACUGCAACCAACUGGCUUCUUAAGAUCUCUCAUUUUCAUAGACCUCCUUAUCUCUAAGACGCCAUCCCAUCUAGCAUUUGCAGCAUACAGAUUUGACAUGACUAUAUAAUUCCCGAUAUCAUUAGCAUUAACUUGAAAAAGGUGAUCAGCCGCAGCACAGCCCACAUCAACCUCCUGAUGGAUUUUACAGGCACCCAGAAGCGUUCCCCAUAUAUCAGCAUCAGCUUGAAAGGGCAUCUGGGUCACAAAGGAAAACGCAUCUUUAAUUCUACCUCCACGUGCAAGUAGAUCCACCACACAGGCAUAAUGCUCCAUGCUAGGCUUGAUUUGAUGCGCCUUUUCCAUUGAAUCAAAGAUCUUUAACCCUUCAUCCACAAGGCCAGCAUGACUACAAGCAGAUAGCACUGUAGUUAUUAUAACAUGAUCUGGUUUAAAGUCCAUCUCAAGCAUAUGAUAGAAUAUCCCAAGUGCUUCUUCUCCCAUUCCAUGCAUAGCAUACCCUCCAACCAUUGCUGUAAACAUAACAAGAUCUUUGACUGGAGAUGAUUGGAAAAGCUUGUAUGCAUAUUUUAGAGUAGCACAUUUAGAAUAAACAUCUAUGAGAGCCCCAACCAGAUAAACAUCAUUAUCUAGAAAAGCCCUUAUCACAUAUGCAUGGCACUGCUUUAGCAAGUUGCUUGAGGCCAUUUGAGCACAAACAGGAAGGAGGCUCAAAAUGGACAUGGUAUCAGGCCUCAUUUUGUGAUGCAGUAACUCGGUAAACAGACUCACUGCUUGAUCAGGACAAUCAUUUUCAGCAUAAGCUCUAACCAUCAAAUUCCAAGUGGUAAGAUCUCUCUCGGUCAUCCUCUUGAAUAUACCAUGAGCAUCUUCAUGUAGACCAUAAUUCACAAACCCUGAGAUCAUUGAGUUGCAUGUGAUUACAUUCUUGCUUCCUGAUAAAUUCUCAAAUAUUCUGUUAGCAUAUAUUAAAUUGCAACACUUUGCAUAUGCAUCAAGUAAGGCAUUAGCGAGAGUAGGUUCAGUAUAACUUAACAAGAUACCAUAUCUUACUGAAAAACCAUGUGCUUCUUUAAUCUUAUCCAGUCUGGAAAUGUUAGCAAAAUAGCGCACCACAGCCAAUAAUGUGAUGGAGUCAGCUUUCAUCCCCUCUCUAAACAUUUCCUUUAACAAGAUAAUAAAUUCUUUGUGAAGUUGGUUUUCUGCUAAGGCAUCAAGCAUAGUGUUCCAUGAUAUCAAGUCCUUAUUAGAAGUCAACAAAAAUAUGUGAUAUGCCUCUUUAAUGUUUCCACAUUUUGCAUAAAAGCUUAUAAGGGCAUUAACCACAGAUAUAUCCUGAUGGAGGAAACUAUGACGAAUUACAUACCCAUGGAUCUGCUUCCCGAUCAACACAUUAUUGAGCUGUGGACAUACUGGAAGAAUGCUCAUAAGAGUAACAGAGUCUGGUCCAGUCAUCUCCUCUUUAGUGAAUUCACGGAAAAAAUCUAUUGUCUUCCAGCAUUGACCAUUUGCUGCAUAUCCAGCAAUUAUUGAGUUCCACGACACCAGAUCUUUAUUUUCCAUAUUCCGGAACAAAGUCUCUGCUCCUUCAAAAUUUCCAACCCUCAAAUAGCAGCUCAAAAGAGCAUUGAUGACAGUAGCUUCUGACAACAACUCAACCCGUCGCAAAACAUAACAAUGCAUCUGCCUUCCCAAGUGGUAACCAUCUAUCCCUCCUAAACUAGGACAGGUAGGAAUAAUAUUAGCUAUAGUUGCAUAAUUAGGUAGGACAGAACCUCUCAACAUCAACCUGAACAAUUCAAACGCCCUAUCUGUAAGCUUAUUCUCUAUCAAACCUGCAAUCAUUGCAUUCCAUGAAACAACAUCUUUAUCAGAAAUUCCACGAAAAGUAGCAUCGGCAUCUAAAAUAUUCCCAGAUUUCGCAUACAUGGAUAUAAAAGCAUUUGCUACCAACGUUUGACAAUCCAACCCAUGCUUUAUCGCGUAACAAUGAAGAGUUUUUCCAGCACCCAAAUGUGGAGAGCGAGGAACCAUAAUAGCCAGAGUAACAGAAGUUGGCUUAGGAUCACAUUCUCUUUGCAUUAAAUUAAACACCCUCCCCAUCUCCGAUUGAUGUAAUGGCGAAGAAGCAAAUCCAGACAAGAGAAUAUUCCACAUGACUAUGUCAGUAUAUUUAGUAGUAUGGAGAAGCUUUUGACAAUCCUCCAGAUGUUUAGAUUUGGCAUACAUAUUAAGCAAGGCUUUUAUCAUAAAUUGACAAGAAUGAUGACCUAACUUAAUAACACAAGUAUGUAAAGCUUUCCCCAACAUCCCAUCUGCUAUGGCAGCACAACAUUUGAGUACAUUUGCCAAUACUUGGUAAUCAGCAGCAAAAACAGUUAUUUUGCUCAUAAAGCUACAAACUAGUUCAUUCUUCAUGGUUGCUUAGCUUAAUAAAAGGGGGAACCCCAAUUUUUGGAUUAUCAACAUUAACAAUCGACUUUGAAUUCCUAACUAAUGGAAUGGUUCGUCACUCAAUACUCAAAUCAAUGAAGAGAAACUUACAGACAUACGAGAGGGAAUUCAAAAACACUCCGCUCAGAUUACCUUAAGUUGGAGUAGAAUUAACAAUUUGGGUCUCUCGCUCAAAUUAUAAUAUUCUCAUGUUUCUUUUAACUAUAUAUAUUAAUUCUUCUAUACACAUAAAUUAUUGAUUUAUUUAGGUUUGAAAUUAUAUAUUAACAACAACAUUUGUACUAGAUAUUUUUGUACACUUAUAUAUGUUAAAGAGAGAGAAGAAAAAAGGAAUUUUUGUGAUUAAUUUAAAUGGUAGAAUAGAUUCUUUAAAAUUAUUUUAUCUUAAAUUAUAUUGUUUUAUAUCGUUUAGAUUCAUUGUUAAGUAACAACGAAUAAAUUCAUUUUUUUAUAACAAUUGAUUUGAUAUGAUCGCGUUAUUACCUUAAUAUUUUAUUCUCAUUUUAUUUUUAUACUUUUACCUUUAAAGGAGUUAAAGUAAAUAAGUUAUCAAAAUUGUUAAAAAAAAAAAAAAACAAUCACAAGGAAGAUUGGUGUGACACAGCAAAACUUAAAGUAAUGUCGAUGAAUUUCUUUUUAUAUGCAUAAUUAAUUUCUUUAGAUUAAUAUAGUGUCGUUUGGAGAUGAAUUAUGUUUGUUGGCAGGUUAAAAUUGAGAAAAAAAAUCAGGAAGAUGAAUUGUUAUUUUAUAUAUAUAAACACACAAUAAUAUCAAUACAUUAAGUAUAUGUACAUAUUGAUAAGUAACCUUUUCCUGUACACUUGACUUAUUGUAGAACAAUUAUUUAACAUCAAUUUAAGGGGGAUUAAACCAAGACCCAAAUGGGAGCAAAUGAGCCAUUACCAAUCUAAUUAAUUUUACAACACUAUUAAUCAUAACUAGUACCUUUAUACACAAUCAUAUAUAGAGAAGACAUAUCACAUUUUUCUCUUUUUCUCACGCAAAUGAUCAGAAUUUCUAUAAGAAACCUUUGGAUAUAUAUAUAGACAAUCAUUAAGUUUAUAAUUUUUAUGAGCUUACCCAUUUCAUAAUAACUUCAAAAAUGUUAAAUUGGUUCAUCCAAGAAUACAAGCAAAAGUGUGGUAUAUAUAUCAGUGUAUAUUUAUGUGUAUGCCCAUUUACCUGUAUAUCUGUGUACCUCUAGCAUAUAUAUGUGAUGCCAUGAAUUUUGUGUAUGAUAUACACUUUAUAUACAUGAGGUACACAUUAUUGCAGUGAUGUUAUCCACAUCAACUUUAUAUGAUUAUAUCUGAAUUUCUUCUUCUUUAAUAACCACUCUGAAUGACUUUCAAUCUUCCUCAAAUUUUGUAUAAUCUUCCUCAACGAAUUCGAAUUAUACAAUUUUGUGUUAUCAUGGCAAACUCAAUUUUUUUGUGUUAUUUGGCAAACUCAAUUUUUUUGUUUUAACUGUUCAAGAUUUAAUCAUAUAUUAUUAUAAGCAUGAAGCUUUCAACUUAAAAGUUGAAUUACUAUUUUGCUCUUAUUUUAUCUCUAAACUAAAUAAAUAUUAAUAUAUAAUUAAUUUAAUAUUAGAUAAUAUUUUUUUUAUUUAAAUUCAUGCCUUUAGACACAAUGGUUCAAAUUCUUUCGGAAAUAGUUACAAGAAUGGAAAGACCAAAAGUUGUAUUUUUCUUAAUAAAUGUGUAUAUCAAUUCUUCUUUAUCAAAAUCAAUUUAAUUUUGGCUUGUGACUAUGUCAGUGAUUAUUUCUUUAUCACCGUUUGUUGUUAAUAGAGAAAAGAUAUACAAGAAGUAGUAUAGACACUAAAGGAAUUUCAUUCAUAUUAAAUCUUUAUGUUUUUUCUUUUUUAUUAUUUUAUUUAUUUAAUCUUGAUUUUGUUUAUCGUAUUUUAAUAUGUUUUCUUUAAGUUUUUGAUCUUGUUUUCAUCAAAUUGUGCUAAGAAUCUGUAAUAUAAUUUGUUAAUUUUGUGUGAUCUUUUUUAGUGUUAUUUGUUUUUGAUUCUUCUUUCUUAAUAUUAGAUUUUGAUGUAUUCUUUGAAUAUCAACUUUUUUAUUGGUUUUAUGGUAUUUGAUAUGCUUAGCCUCAUUAUGGUUUCAAUCUAGACUAGAAGAGGUUUACACAAUUAUUAUUUUAUUUUUGUGUGGUCUUGUUCAUAUGUUGUAUCAUUGAAUGUUUCUUUAUAUUUAUUUUUUGACUAUUUUUAGUAGUUUUGAAAUGUAUUCUCGAGGUAUUGCUCAAUUUUAUACGUUAUGUGAUAGUUUUCUAUUUUUUAUCUUGGGAUUUCAAUUUUUGUUGGUUCUUUGACGAACUUUUUCAUCCUUUAAGAAAUGUAGUUAUUACUGUCAACACAUAGUAUAGGAUCAUAGAGACAUUAACUUUCAGAAAGUCAUCGUAGUAAUGUCACUUUUAUGGUAACAAUUAAAAUAAUAUGGUUGAACUUCACUUUUAUGGUACCAAUUAAAUUGAAAAGUCAUGCAUAUAUAUAAUACAAGUGUAUGUAAUACAAAUGACCAGUGAAUAAAUAUAUGGUUCUCAUAUCUAUAUUUGAUAAUAGGGUAAUAUUACUUGACGUUUCAAUUAAUUCACAAAAUUUGGAGUAUACAUGUCACCCUUCAUUGUUUCAAGUUUAUGAUUAUUUUUCGAAAAAAUCUACUUUAUGCCUCAUUUAUAUAUUUUAUACUUGUGUCAUUUAAAAAAAAUGGAAUAUUAAUUAAUAGGGUACACGUGCGUUGCACGUGAGCAAAGACUAGUAUAUGUAUACAUACGUAAGAAUUUAUUCACGUAAUAUAAUUAUUUUUAAUAAAAAAGUAUAUUUUAACUAACGUAUUCCAAUAGUUCAUCGUAUGUGACUACGCCAAGCGUAAAAUACCUCUAAGUUGCUUCAUAGUAGGACUAAAGUAAUAUCCUGCUACUAGUCAUUGAUAUUAUUAAUAAUAUUCGUCAUAUAGAAAAUUAAUUUUUUUUCGUUCAGAUAAACUCAAACUGACACUAAUUGAACUAUAUAAAAUGUUGGAUGUCCAUGUCACAGAGUUUGAUAAAAGGAUUAAGGCACACCAAUUAAAAUUUAAAAUUUAAAAAUUUUAUUAGCAAUCUCAAAUAAAUAAUAAAUAUUUGAAUACAUAUACAUGAACGAAAGUUAUUAAAUUUUUUUGUGAAUCAUAACUAACACACUGAACCUGCCUAGGUAGACAAAUGAGAGACACAAUUUAUGUAUCACCAUCAAGAAAUGAAAGGAUUUUGGUAGUUGCUACUAGCUCCCAAUUAAUUAUGUUGUAGAUUGAUUUAGACUUUGGAAUUUAAUAGAACCUUGAGAUUGAAUUUUGCUUGGAAAAUAUCCUCGUAACUUAAAAUGAUAAAAGUGUAAUCACAUUUUAAUAAUGAGUGAAAAUUUAUUUUUAUCUGAUUAAUAGAAUCUCUAUCAAAAAAAUUAAUUUAAGAUUAGAUCCAAAAAUAAGAGUUUGUAAAUGAAAUUGAGACAACAUAUUGAGAAGAAUUCUCUUCACCCAUGAUGAUAAAUUUCGUUUGCGUACCACAAAUUGAAAUGGCUUACUGUCUUGAACCUCAGACAAUGUUUUAUAAUAUAUGUAAUUUUAUAUUUUAAUUAGAGAUAUUAAAUUUAAAUUUUAUUUGAUGAAUUUAUUUAUAUAAAUUCAAAUUUAAUUGAAUUGUGUAGUAAAUAUUACACAAGUGGACAAAAAAUGAUAAAAAUAGAUAGAUAUUCAAUUUCUUAAUAAUUAAUUGUAGAUAUAUAUGAGUAGAUUUGGGUUGUCACUUGACAUAUGGUAACAGAAAACAAAUGAAAAAAUCUAAAAUAUUUUGUGAAUGGCUAAAAUCAAGAUCGCUUUCAAGAUGACAGAAGAGCAAUUAAUGUUGAUACUACAUAAUUUCUCCACUCAAAUAUUAGUUUUACGUAAUAAUAUUAGGAACUAGUGAGUUUUUUAAUAAAUAUAAAUAUAAAGGAUCUUUCGUUACACAAAUAACAUUUUUUGUUAGAAAAAUUAGUAUAGUUUUAGUGAGAUAGGGGAUAAUUAUAGUGGUACUAUUCAGACAGAAAAUCAGCCUAUAUUAUAAAAGAAGAUGAUAUUGUGAAUAUUAAUUAUAAAUAAUAAGAAGUAAGAGGAAAUUUCUUUCAAAAAUGCAUCUCUUGUUUUUCAUUAUCACAUCUUUAUUUUGACUUCUCAAAUCUUUGUUAUUUACCAUAUGUUUUACAAUCGUUACCAGAACAGAAUUAUGAUAUAAUUGUUGAAAGUUUAUAUAAUCGACAUACUGGAUUUUCAUAAGAAAUGAAAAUAGGGUAGAGUGAUUGCUUUAAUAAUUAUGGUGACUUGUAUUUCCAUGUGAUUUAAUCACAACCAAAAACAAAAAAAGGGGGGAAUAACCCAACAGCUCAUGUAUAUAUGCCUACAUAAAUUGGUGGUUAAUUAUUAAAAGCAUAUAUAUAAAAAGAUACAAGAAUCCAAAAAAUUGAAAAGCUGGUUUUGGUUAUUAGAAAUAAUAAUAAUAUUCCUGUGUGCAAGGUGUACUAAAUUUGAUGUUUACAGCAAGCUUAUCACACUUUGUGUUUGUUGGCAGAACUUACAAAGACUUUGCUCAAAUUAUAUUCUCAAGAAAUUAAUCUACUCUCAAAAUAAAUUUAUUUGCUACAUAAAAUCUUGUAUUUAAUUUAGAAUGAAUAUCAGUUAUUUUUACAAAUAUUGGAUGACAUAUGAUACUUGAAUCGUUUUGUUAAUUAUUACCAUUUUGUUUGGAUGGCUAUUCCGUUUUAUAACGUAUUAUGUUAUAUUAUAUUGUAUUGUUCAAAUGAAUGUAGUGCUUUGAUAGAUUGUUUAUUCUCCAUCUUCACAUAAUGUACAUGCAUAUUCAUAAUUUGAAUGAUAAACCUAAAAUAAAAGAUGAUAUCAGAUAGAAUUACGUACGUACUACGAAAAGAUACGACAAAUGAUAAAAUCAAGUUAUUAAAUUCUUAAUAAGUAAAGACAAAAUGAGAAGAAAAUAUAUAUUAAGGUAAUAACGCGAUCACACCAAAUCAAUUGUUACAAGAAAUGAGUCUUUUCGUUGUUACCUAACAAUGAAUCUAGAUGAUAUGAAACAAUAUAAUUUAAAUAAUAAUCAAAACAAUCAUUGUAUUGAUAAAACUAACAAUACAAUACAAUGGGUAACAACUAUCCAAACAAACAAGGUGUAAACUAAUAAGAGUCGUAAAUUAAUGAAUACGAGUCUUUCACUUUUAACUAAAGUUUCAUGUUUGAACUUCAAAUACAAAAAAUGAAAUUAUAUUAGAAAGCAUGAGGCUCACUAUGAAUAUAGAUAUCAAACAUUAAUUGAAAAAUAAAAUAAAAAAAAGAGAGAAGUUAGGUGUCGUUGCUUGUCAUUAGUCCUUGAUUAACAAAUCAAUAUUCCUUAAUCACCUCAUUUAUUUAUAAUCACCCCCAUGUGCUUUGCCAACGUAUUAUCAUCACCUCUAUGGCCCUACUUAUCAAAUCAUUAAUCAAAACAUAUAUUCAUCAUUCAAUUAUUUUAUUUGAAUUAACCUUCCAAUCAACCCCCAUUCCUCAUAUAUAAAACACUAUUUUUAGUCAUUAUAUUUAUGUAUAAGUAGGUAAAAAUACUAUUCCUAUCAAUUAUUGAUGGAUAAUCCCACCUGUUUAAUUUGUUGCACUUGUUUCAAUUUUUAAUUUUAAUUUUCAAUUCAAGGAAUAAAACCUAUUUUCCCCCUUUUUUGUCAAAUAGAUACACGGAAAAUAAAUAGGACUUUGAACAUGAUUUUUCCCCAAAAAAAAAAAAGGUUGUAUUGAAUUAUUAAAGGUGACUAUAUAAAUGUUGUCGAAAGAUAAUUUGUCCAAAUAUAAUUCUAUAACACUUUGUAUUUAGGUAAAAAAUAAAGUAUAUGGUCAAGAAAAUAGUAUGGCAGUUAUGUAAUUUAGAUAGAACAAGGAGGGCAGAUUUGUCACGGGGAGAUUUAUUUUGACGGCGUGAUUUUUGUAGAAACCAGCGAAGCCACGUUAGCAAGUUGGAUUUUAAGGUCCCACGCCAACUCUGAUUGACCCACUUGCUAGCUGUUAAUUUCUUUUACCCAUUUUGCCCUCAAUAUUCAUUCAUCAAAAUCACCCACUCCAAUCAUUAUUUCCUCAAAUUAGUCAAAACCAACCAAUUCAUUACUUCAAAUGACCAUAAUAUCCUUGAUGACCUAGUUAUUAAUGAUAUAAAAAAUUAUUCAUAGUAGCAACAACUGUAUAAGAUAAUACAUAGAUUUUCUCGCGUAUAUUAGUUAUGUGAUUUUUAAAUUACAAAUUAAAUAUCGUAUUAAUUUUAUGUAACUAACUAUUGAACAUGAUAUUACUUGUGCGACAGUUAAUACUUACAUAAUUGAUCACCUUCAAACUAGCACUAUAUGAAAAAUAAUCAUUAGUGGUAAUUAAUUAAUUUUUAUUUAUCACUAAAUAUGCAUUUUUAGUGACAAUUAGAGCUCUUUGUGUAUGACACUAAAACCUUUAGAAAUAUUGAUUCUAAUGACACUUAACUAAGCACUUUUUAUUAAUAUCAAUAUUCAAUAUCGUUAAAAAUCAUUUUGUUAUAGUAUCUAUCCGACGGCCAUUUAUUAUGUGUAUCUCAAUUCUUCAUUAAAUCAUGUUAUCUUCCAACAGAAUAACUAUGGCAAUCAACAUUUAAGUAAAUAAAAACUGAAGUACGUAAGAUUGUUUAUCUCCGUUAAGAGUUGAAUUUUUAUAUCUAAAUACUUUUAUUGACCAAUAAAUUCUUUGACUACAACUUUAUGUAUUCCUUCGAAAUAUUUUGAAUUGAUAACUAUUAGGAAUAUUAAGUGUUUUUAAAUAUAUUUUUUUAUUUUUAAUUAAAACGAAAAAUUUUACGUAUAAUUUUACGUUCAAAAUUAGAAAAAUCGUUUCUCGAAGUUUAUAACUUUACCUAAAUUAAAACGGGUGAAGUAUUUAAAUUAAUUAUGUAAGGGUGAAUUUGGUAUUUAAAUUAGUUACUUAUUGAUUUUUCUUUUUCGUUAAAAAAAACAUGUGUGCUGUGCAAGUAUCCAAUGCUCAAAUUCUACGAUCAACUCUGUUCACAUAAAAAGCCAGAGGUGUGAAAGCAUGGUGGGUUAGGUCAGCAUACGGUUAUAUGAAGCAGCGGAUUCAAAAUUUUCAUAACGAAAUUUAAUAUUUAGUAUUUUUUAUAAAAAGUUAAUUUUAAUCCAUAAUGAUAUUAUAUAAUAUUUUAUCAAAAAAAUUGAAUUAACCUGCUACACUCGUAUAGAAGCGUUCAAAAAAUAAUUUAACUGAUAUACCAAUUGAAAAACAUAAAUAGUUUAUUGGUAUUAGGUUAAUGAUUUUGUAUAAUUUUUAUUGGGUUAUUAGUUUGGUUUUCAAUUUUAUGAUUUGACAAAUAAUUAUAUCGAUAACCUAAUGAGAUUAUAUUAAAAUUACUCAUUUACUCCCAGAUAUUAUACUAUGACUUAUACAAUUUACUAACCUUAUUUUCUAAAUUUUAGUAUUACUGACGAUUGUAGGACACACAAACUAGCCUUUUUAUCGUUACACUUUCUCUAUUCUCGACACAAAUUAGUGAGUAUUAUUUUUUCACUUGUUGCACUUCUAUUUUUAUAGAUAUAAAAAAAUAUUUUUUGAUCCAUUAAAUUGAAAUCAAACCGUUGAAGAUAAAAAAAAAAUCUAUUUUUCCAGUGAAUAAAUUGAUAAAUCAAACUAACCGAUCGAUGCAUAUGGAUAUAUGUGUAAAUAAUGAGAAAGGGAGGGAGUAUUUGGAGUUGAAAAUAAGUCUUUGUUGGUAUAAGGCCUUGUCAGGUCCUUAUAUUUGGAAGCACAGUUGGCUAACAAAUAGAAAAGUUUUUUUUUUGAAUUGUCCACUCAUAUAUAACAACAGUUAUCUGUUAUUAUUAUUAGAGAGCAAAUAUAUAAUUGCAAACAAAGAAGAGAGAUAUUUCAGUUUGCUUUCUUCAUAUUCAUGUAAGUGAAACACACAAUACUCAAUUCUUUCUUGCUUUCUUACUACAAAAAGGUUAUCAUCAAUUUUUUGGCUAUAAAAUUACUUUGAUAAGUUGUUACAAAUUCACUAUUGAAUAGAAUUAACAACAAUUUUUGUUGUUUAGUUAUAAAAUUUGUCUUUCGUUAACUCUAAUUACCUUUUAGCUUUUUGAUGAUAUAUACUUAAUAGGAUUAACAAUGGAUUUUAUUGUUAAUUAGCUAUAGAUUUGUUUCUCAUAAUAUGUUGUUAAAUAAGAUUAGCAACAAAAUUUGAGAAAAGGAGAACGUGUAGGACAAACUUAAGGUCAAUUCUUUCUUUUAGGUGUUCCAUCUAUUGUUAAUUCCUAUUUUUUCAGUAGUUUUUUUUAUAUAAUAUAUUUAUUAAUCCAUGGUUAAAUAUGAUUAGCAAUAAAGUUUAUUGGUUUAGCUACAAAAUUUAUUUAUCGCUAAUUCUUAUUUUCUUAGUAGCUUAUUAUUAAUCCAUCGCUAAAUAAGACUAGCAACAUAUUUUGUUUUGUUGUUUAGCUACAAAAAUUUAUUUAUCACUAAUUUUUAUUUUCUUAGUAGCUUAUUGUUAAUCCAUCGUUAAAUAAGACUAGCAACAUAUUUUGUUUUGUUGUUUAGCUACAUAAUUUAUUCAUCUUACUUAUUAAUUUUUUAUAGCAAGAAUUUUCAUCAUGUUGUGUAUUUAUUUUUUCUUCCUACAAAUGUAGAUAUUUUGUGAGUAUUUAAUACGAAAGAAAUAAAGAUGGGAUACUGGAAAGCAAAGGUUCUUCCAAAGAUCAAGCAGAUCUUUGAUAAAAAUGGACCCAAGAAAACUGCUGCUGCUGAGGCAUGCAAGACUUUUGAUCAAGCUAAGGUAAAAAAAUAAAUAAAUAUAUAUAUAUAUAUAUAUUUAUCAAAUAUUUUAAUUUGUUUGAAGUCUAAACAAUUUAUAAGUUUUUUAAAAAAAUAUUAAGGGAUCGAAUAAAGGGUAAAUUGUAAAUAAUUCAUUUUAUUUAUGAUACUUUAAGAAGAAUGUAAGAGGCAAUUAAUAUGUAAUGGACAGAAUUAUCUCAUAGAGUCACUUUUUUUUGUUAAAAAAAGAAAUAGAAAAUAGAAAAAGAAUUUAUUUAUACAAAUUGAUGGAUAAAAAAUCUUUAUAUAAUCAUGUCACUUUGAAUAACUUUAUUUAAUAUAAGUAAUAGAGAAAAAAUUAUUAUAUUAUCAAUAUAUAUAAUUUUAAAUUUUUAAUAUGAAUUAUUGUCUGCUAUAUUUCAGGAGGAAUAUAGCAAGGAGUUUGAAGAGAAGAAGACUGAGCUUCAACCCAAAGUUGUUGAAAUUUAUGAAGCUGCUGCAGUUGAGAUCAAGGUUUUUUUCUAAUACACUUAUUAUUUAUUUGUACUAUAAUAUUAUGCAAAUUUUAGCAGAAUUAUUAAAUACUAUUCUUUUUGGGUUUCAGAUAAGUGUCUAAUUCUAAUAUGCUCAAUUUUCAAUAUUGAACGUGAAGUGACAUUUAUUUAAUUUUUGGAGGAAUAAAGUAUAUAAAUAGUAUGAUUGUAUGGACAUUCAAGCUGUAAUAACCAUUUCUGCAGAAAUAUAAGAUAAAAAUUAUCUACAAUAAUAAAAGUCAAUUCAUUUUUAAAAAUUUAGUGCACUGAACUACGUUUUUUUGUUACGAUGAAAAAAAUAUAUACAGAGCUUAGUGAAGGAACCAAAGGGUGCAGGGCUGAAGAAAAACUCAGAUGGGGUUCAGAAAUUCCUUGAUGACCUUGUCAAGAUUGGUAAGUAUUUUACUUAUUGUUUUUUAUAUGAUUUACUAAAAUAUAUUUUUAAAUUGUUUGCUCCGAUAAUCCAUACCAAUAUAUGUUCAAAUUUACUAAAAUAUAUUUUUUAUUAAUGAUAUAAUUUAGCCUACAUCUCUUGUUUUCACUAACUAAACUUUGGUGUAUAUGUACUUGUAAUAAUUGAAGAAUUUCCGGGAUCAAAAGCUGUUAGCGAAGCAAGUUCAAACUUUGGGCCUUCCUAUGUAUCGGGCCCAAUUAUUUUUGUGUUCGAAAAAGUUUCCACUUUCAUAGUCACAGAAGAUAAGAAGGAAGAGGAACCCGCGGCUGCUGAUGACGUGCAUGCACCAGCCGCCACGUCAACUGAAGAGGUGGAGGUGAAGGUGAAGGAGAAGGAGAAGGAGAUAGUUAUUGAGUCUGGAGAACCAAACAAGGAAGAAGCACCUGCUACUGUUGUUGCUGACGUGGCACCUGCAACUAAGGUGGAAGAAGCACCAAAGGUGGUUUAAUCAUCGUAUACGUCUAAAAAUUUGCAUCUUUAUCUUCUUCUUUUUUUUAAUGUGUCAUGGUUAUUUACUGUGAGAAAAACUUGAUUUAUUAUUCUUUUGUUAGUGUUUCUCUCCUUGUUUAUUUUCUUUGUACCA